Molecule: long non-coding RNA, 57198 nt
Filed under: Lactuca sativa (garden lettuce)
Lineage: Eukaryota; Viridiplantae; Streptophyta; Magnoliopsida; Asterales; Asteraceae
Description: long non-coding RNA (LSAT_LNC007691)
Source: RNAcentral
UUCCAUUUCCUUCACACUUCUCUUAUUCUUUCUCUCUCAAACAUCUCUGUAAACCCCUCCUAAGCUUUAGUACUUCCCGAGUUCUAAGAGGCGAAUCUUGAAGCACCAGAAGGAUCCAAGAAAAAGAGCUUUCGGCUCGGAAGUUCUGCCCCUACAGAGCCUGGUUCCUAUCCAAACCUCCUAGUAAGUGAGUUAUUCUUAACCUACUUUAAGUAUAGCUUAUGUUUGAGUUCAAUAUCAUUAUUAUGAACUUAUAAACAAUAUUUGUGAGUAUUAUAAAAUAUAGAAAGNAUAUAUAUAUUAUAAAAUAUAAUAUACAAAGUGUUAUUAUAAUAUCUUUUAACUACUCGCGGUAUGGGGAAUCUGGUUUGAAGGGCCGCAUAGGGUUGUUGGAUUUUAGAAGUGCUAUAAUGCCAAAAUGGUCCUGCCCUCCUGUGUUUCAUGUUGUGCGGGCAUCCUACAAAACCGGGCAGUGUGUCCCUUCUUUUUGCAAUUGUUGGAGUACAUUUCUCGACAGGCUCCGGUGUGAUGGACGUUACAAUUGCUGCAUUUCGGUAGGUAACCGACAUAUUGUAUUAAUGGUGUUGCAGGGGUAAUGGCGGUACGGACGACAACGAUUUGUUGUUUCUUGGCGGUCUAUCUCUUCCUCUAAGGAGUGUAGGUGGUUCGUAUUGUUUUCCUGAUCUGCUAGUAGGCGUAGCAUCUGUAUGGCGUCCUUCUUGUUCGUAGAUGUGUUGAAUUUUGUAAUGUCAUGUUCCGAGAUUUGCCACUGAUCUCCAUUACUUCGUGACAGAGAGUCUAAACCCAAAUGUCCGAGUGGGCCUUUCAUGGUACGAUCAGGGGUAGUGUUCAAUUUGUAGGUGUUAGGGUCCGGAGCAUGGUGUAGUGGGUGUAUGUAUAUUGUGGUGAUGUAUCUUGGAAUGAUAGAGGUGAAAGGGUCUUAUGCCUACUCCUGGUAAGUUAAGUUUCAUUAAUGAUCUCACUGAUGCCCUUCUCUUCAUGUGAUCCCUUCUCAAGAUCCUCUUCAUGAACUCCUUUUGGUUCUUCUUCAAUUCAUAUGUUGAUUGUUUUGGUAGCGUUGCAGUGUCUAGAUAUGUCGUUGGUGCGAGAAUAGGGGUCUAUAAAGAAUCUAUGAGGUUAAUAGAAGCACUUUCAAUGAAAAUUUUAUGACGUGAUCCUUACCUGGUCCUCUUAUAAUCAUGUAGUGUAUACAAGAUGUAUAUAACAAAGAUCGAAUAGACCUUCGAAUAAGUGGUUCCACUCUAAGCCCACGACCAAACAAUGAACAGGAUUUAAAGUGGAAUCACAAAUUCUAAGUCUAUUAAAUCUUAAUUGUAUAUCACUCUAAUGUAUACACUAACAAAUUAUAGACCUACCAGUAAGGAUCUUUAGUUUUCACAUCAAUUAUCUAUAGUAUCAUAAAACACUCCUAUAGUAUUUUAAUUUUUUUUGUUUUAGAGCUUCUUGGUAUAUAUACAGUCGGUAAGUUUUAGAUUUGUUGCCCACCACGACUAUUCACAGGCAUAUGCUAGUCACCUCUCGGUUAAAUAUAGUUGAUCAGGCUAUAUUCAUCCAAGACCUGAUUACAUUUACCAAGGUUUACUCAUAGUGUCCAACUUAUCUUAAUACUUUUGUUUUAUUCUCAUUAUGACACUGUUCUAGUAUGUAUGUGUGUCUGUAUAAUUCUAUAAAUAUUAUUAUAUUUAAAAUUAUAACUCUUGGUCAGAGUAUUUUAGCCCCAUUGUAUUUAUAGUUGUAUAUCUUAUAUGGUUUGAUACAGUUAGUUCAUUAUAAACAAUGCUCUAAUACAAAUCUGUCACACCCUCAAACCGGAACGGUGGAAACGUCCGGGGGUGGAUGACAUCAUGUACAUUAUCAUAACAAUUGAAUAGUAGUAAUCAAAGAAACACAACCAUCAUAUUGAAAAUACAUAAUUUACAUUGUGUUCGAAUCAUUGUUUGUUUGACACCAAAACUAUAGCCAAAAACUAAGAUGUGACGCUACUAUACUCCGUCUUCUCGAAACUUGUAUGGGUACCUGUCUACUAAUUUCCUGAGAAUACAAGUGGUUUGAAAAAGUGUCAAAAUUUAAGUUGGUGAGUUAGUGUUUUCUUCCAAAAAAUCCAAUAUUUUCUUUGUAUAAGUGUUGUAAUCUUAGUACCUUAAGACCAAAAUGUAUAAGUUUCUUAUGCUUAAAAUUUUUAAUAUGGAGUUCUAAUUUAUGUAAGUGGUGUGACCCAUACUGGUACCUCCUAUGAUCAGUUAGUGUAUACAAGUUAUAUAUAAUCAAGAUCGAACGGACAGUCGGAUGAGUGAUUCUGCCCUAAGCCCACAACCAAACAAGGAACAGGAUCUAAGGCGGAAUCAUACAUUCUCAUGCCUAUAGGAUCAUAAUUAUAUAUAACCCUGACGUAUAUGCUAAGUAAUCACAAAGUUACCAAUAAUGGUCAUUUCAGAAGUGUAAGUUGCACUGUACUAGAAUAAUAGAGUACUACAAUUGUAUUUGUAUGCAACCCUUUUAAAUGUAUGUUUCUAGGAAUGUAAAUUGUGUUUUAAUGGAAAAUCAUGUAAUGUAGUUUUAUUACUAAGUAAAACUAGUUGAAGAUGUGUUUGCCCCGUAAAAUAAAUGUAAAGUUAGUAACCCUUUAAGACUGUUUGAAAAAAUAUAUUACUCCGUAAAUGUGUCGUCGUUUUCUCCAUGUGAGUUCCUAUAACCAUACUAUGACCCAGUCGGUCUGAUACGACGUUCUUCAGGCGUCAAAAUAUUAACGAUAUUUGUCACCCCAGACUUAUCGGUCAAACUAUAGCUAAUAGUCAGGGUGUGGGAUUGUCGGUACCAUAUAGAUCGAUACACAAAUAUCUCGCUCUCCCUACAAGAGACUCUGCUUAUAAGUUAGGACUUUUGUUAGUACUUAGGUAAGUACGUGAAGACGUGUCUCACAAUUUUAUUGCUUAACGAGUUUACGAGUAAUGAAAUGAAAAACCCAUUAGCAAAUGAAAAUGUAAAACCAUUUAGUAAAUGAAAAUGUAACUUUUCCAUAGAAAUUUCUGAGUGUAUAAAUAUUGUAAAAUGACCCAUAAACUAUACCUUUUAUAGUUUUUAUUGUUUGUUCUAUUGAAAUGAAAAACCUUUGUAUUUUAACAGCUUUGUAUGAAGAGUUUAUAAGUUAGGUAGUAACGUUAUUUAACAUUUUUGCGUAAAGUGUACAUAAAGUAUAAGAAAACAUAGUAAGAGAUCUGUAUAUUUACACAAGUAUUCGUGUGUUUUUACUUGUAUUCUUCCCUAAAACAUAGAAAAACCUUGAAAAAUGUGGGGGUAUGAACUCACCUCAACUGUGAUUGCGGUUAGAUGACGAGGUAAAAAUGGUGAUCUUCGAGUUAGAACGCUAGAAGGUAGUUGUAUCCUAAUCGUUAUAAACACAUAAUGAUAUGUGUAAAUUAAAUGAACUAGCAUGGGAUUGUGGUUGUAUAAGACUAGGUUAUAAGAAAUGCUCACCAAGAUUCUAAAGAACAACUUUAAAGAAAUAGACUUCCUGAGAUUGUUUUGAACUUGAGGUUGAAAGGAAAAUGGUUUGUGUUCUGAGAGAUUAUGAAGUGAAGUUUGUUUACUGUAAAUGAGGGUUCAAAGGAUCUUAAUUCAUGGCUUAUAUAUGAAGAAGUAAGAUAAGGUGAUGUUAUAUAUACAUAGGUAAGUGUAAUCUAUCACAUUGGGAAGAGUAUCAACCAAUCAAGUUGUAACACCGGAGUCCAGGAAACCUAGAAAGGAAAAAAAACCCUAAGUCAAGAAGAACUCACCGAGCCCAGGGACGAACUCGAUGAGUAGGAGCGGAUUUUGGGACGCGGGUAAAGUGACCUACUCCACGAGUUGGAGGACCAACACGGCGAGUUGGUCUGGGUUUGGUAAAACCUAAAUCCAGGUCGUGUACCCUAUUUAAGCAUCUUAUUCUCCUCCCAUGCAGCCCCUAUUGUGUCCCUUAGUCCAGAAAGCCCUAACUCAUGACCCUUGAGCUUUGAUGAGUGUGUGAGAUAUUUUUAAGAGUGUUUGUGUGAUCUUGGAGCUAGAAGAAGAAGAAGAAGAAGCUAGAAGGUUCAAGGAAGCAGCAGAUCCAGGGUUCAAGCUCCAUUUCCAAUCCCUUUAAGGUAUAAAGUUGCUUCCUUUACUUCCCUAUUUCUAGAAAUAUCUCUCCUUGUUUUAGUUUAGGGCCAUCUUUUAGCAAUUUAGUGAACCUUUUUUAGUAUGGCAUGUGAUCGGAAUUUGUAACUUCAGAUCCAGAUCCCUUUCAGCCCCUAUAGCUAAAAAGUUCACGAAUUUAUCAUGCUUUAACCCUUCCCUUUGGCCUAGACUUUAUUUUAGACUUGGAAAUGGUGUUUUUGGCUCAUAACACCUUGCAUGCAUGUAAAGUUUCUAAGUUUACGUGUAAAAUCUACCCUAGGAGGUCAGAUCUAUGUUUUAGAAGCGUUAUCUCGACUGAAAUCGACUGUAUGGACUUGGAAUUUGGGGGACUCGACAAGUAGUUCAUAAGACUCGGCGAGUCGAGUAAUGGUUACCCAACCUUUUAUGUUUCGGAGCAAUCUGGUUGGGUCUAGAAGAGGACUCAACAAGAUGGGAGUGAAUAUGGACUUGAAGAUCACAGAACUCGAUGAGUUCAAGGAUAAACUCGGCGAGUUCAAGGCAAUGUCCCGACUGAUAUAAAGAAGAACUCGACGAGUUCAAGGAAGAACUCGGUGAGUCAAGGGCUAAACGUUCCAGCUUAUAUGAAGCAGGACUCGAUGAGUUUAAGGAUGAACUUGGCGAUUCAUGAGCAAAAAGGCCCUAAUUUUGCAUGAGGAAGAAGUCGCCGAGUUCCUGAAAGACUUGACGAGUAGGAUCGAAGUUCCAGUAUUUUGUGGAUUAUGGAACUCGAUGAGUUGUUGGACCAACUCGGUGAGUUGAGUCAACCAGAUGUUGACUUUGACCAGAUUGUUUGCCUUGACUUUAGCUUUGACCUGAGUUGACCCUGGAAAGGGUUAUGAGCAUGAAAUGGUAAUUAAGGAAGGAUGUUAUAUGUAGGAGUUUGAGUUGUAAGAGGAGUUGAUCCCCGCACCGAGGACAGUUCAGAUACUACACGACAUUGAGGUGUGUUACCUUCCAGUAGAAGUGGGUCUAAGGAACCAAGGUCGGCCCACUAGUAAGAGUUAUAGUAGAGACAAUUGUCUUCGUGAUAAUUGUCUGGUAUGUUAUCAAUUAUGAUUAUGUGCUAGCCUGAUAUGAUGUUAUGUGGUAGUAGGUAGUGGGGGGAAUAGUCCUCGUGUUACAAUAGUAGGGACCGAAGGGUAGGUCGGGCACCCUAGAUAUGCUUGACAGUAUGUUUAUGCUAUGUUAUUAUGUGGUAGUAUAAGUGUUGAAAUAGUCCCCGUAGCCGGUUGAGAUAAACCGGAGGGUAGGUCGGCACCCCAGAAUUGCUAGACAGGAUAGGUUGGCACCCCCAGAAUUGUCAGAAGGGGUAGGUUGGCACCCUAGAAUUGCUAGAAAGGGUAGGUCGGCACCUGAGAAUUGCUAGACAGGGUAGGUCGGCACCCCAGAAUUGCUAGACAGGGUAGGUCAGAACCCCAUAAUUGCCUGACAAGGAAAGACGGGCACCCCAGAAUUGCCCAGCAGUAUGUUAGUUAUGUGAUAUGUGAUAUGAUGGGGGAACUCACUAAGCUUUGUGCUUACACUUUUCACUUUUGGUUUUAGGUACUUCGUUUUCAAAGAAAAGGAGCCGACGAUCACAGCGCAUCACACUAUGUUUUCUGCACAUGAGAUCUUUAGGAUUACACUCUGAUAUUAUUUUAUGAUUACAUGUUUGACUAUUUACACUUUGGUUUUGACAUGAGAUGUUAUUAUGGAUGUUUUUUUUACUAAUUGGUUUUAUGAAUUGUUAAACAAAACACAUAAUUUUUGGCCUUAUAUUUUGGGAUGUUACAAGUUGGUAUCAGAGCCUUGGUUUAAGGGAUUCAGAAAGACUCUCGGGUGUGUCUGGACUCAAACUGAGGACUUGGUAUAAAAAUUUUCGAAAGAAAACUCAUUUUAUAAAAAGAAGUUUGAAAUGGAUUUGAAAAAGAGAAAAGAACAAGGUGUUUGAUGUGUGCAAUUAGCCGAGCUCAAGUAAGUUUUCCCCAAGAUACCCAUACAUGUUAUGUUAUGAUAUGAUACGAUUAUGAGAACUGCAUGCUAGAUUAGGGCUAAUGAAACAUCCCAAAUAUACGGCCCAAAAUUUUCGUUUUAAAACUUAUAAAAAAACUAUAAAUCAUCCAUCAAUCACAAAGAAAAUCAAGAAGCAUGUAUAUUAAAACAUCAUAUCAAAUACUGUAUCAAAAUCAUAUGAGAUAAAUAUCAGAUUCCAAACUCCCUGGCUGAAACUAUGGUGUCUGCUAUGUGAUCAUCCCGAGCCCUUCCCCUUGCUAGUGGAAGUACCUAAAACCAAAACUGAAAAUUGUAAGCACGAAGCUUAGUGAGUCUCCCCAAAAUACCAUAUACCAUACACAUAACAUGCAACUAGGAGAUACGAGCCCCGCCCACUCUCAUGGAGAUUCGGGCCCCACCCACACUCUGUUGUCUAACAUGUAUACAAGUAUCAUAUAGACAACAAGUAUAUCUAUCCCUAUCAAACAGUCACAUAACUAUACUCAGAUAAUACUAUGAGAUUUGGGCCCCACCCACACUCGGCUGCUAUGAAAUUCAGGCCCCACCCAUACACUCCACUACUAAAAUAUCACAUAUACGGGGUGGCCUUUGUGCCUUCGACCCGUUCCUUCUGAAAGGAAACUCACCUCUCAAACUGGAUGUUGAACUCGUGCAUGAGGAAUCUCUACUAGCUGCUCCCACGACCCCCUAGUUAACUUUAUACAAUAAUAUUUAUUUCGUAACUGAAAGGGUAAACUGACCAUUUUACCACUGGUUAAAGUCAAUGUUCUGGUCAAAGUCAACAUCCUAAGUUGACCAACUCGUCGAGUCAACCUUUCAACUCAUUGAGCUCUUAAACUCUAAAAUCCUGAAAUCAUGACUCAACUCGCCGAGUCUUAUCGAGUUGGUCAUAGUCGCGACUUGGCAAAUCAACUCAUUGAGUCACUCUACAAACUCGUCGAGUUUUACUAUAAACUAGAAUCGGGACAACAGGACUUGACUCGUUGAGUUCCCCUAUAGACUCGAUGAGUCCCUCUGUCUGUUUGGCCAUCUUAACAGAUUAAGCCCCUAUUCUCUAGAUCCAAGGUCCACACUUCGCUUGAACCUUGAAAAUGUCCUUAUUAAGGGUAAAGUUUCUUACUUUACCCAUUAAUUCCACUUCUUAGAGGGUUUAGUUCAAACCCUAAUUCCUUGGGACCUAGAACUUGGUCCUUAAGUCCUCCAUACACCAAACUCAAGUUUACAACCUCAGAUCCAAACCCCUAACGCCACUUGGACACGUAAAGUCUCGAGCUUGCUUCCAUGCAUGGCCUUUUAGGGCUAAAAAGGCCAUAUAAAUGAUCAUAAAGUUGCAUGGGCUCCCAUGGUCAUAAAUUUUGCACCUUUAUGCCAUGGAACCCCUCCUAGAUCCCAAAUCUGAACCAUGUGUCACUUGAGGCGUCCAAAACCCAAAGAUUAAGACUCUUGAACCAAAAUCAUCAUAAAAAGGAAAUAACUAGAUCUAAGAGAAGAAUGAUCAAGUUAGAGACUUGAUUACCAAAACGUCCAACAAAUGGAUUGUAGCUUCUGGAUCUAUUCCUUCCCUCUUGAGCUCUCUAUCUUCUUCUCCUUCUACAAGCUUCACAAUGCACAAAAUUCACUCAAAAUGGCUCACACACUCAAGAAAAGUUUUAGGGUUUCGUGGACUAGGGUUUGGGACAAGGAGGCUAUGAAUGAGGCCAAUGGGUGGAGGUUAUGAUGCUUAAAUAGGGUGCAAAACCCUGAAAUUAGGUUUUCACUCUGGAUGAGCUACUCGUCAAGUUGGGGGUAACGACUCGCCGAGUAAGUAACUUUAACCCCGCUCAUAAACUUCCCUUUACUCGAAGAGUUAGGUCCACCAACUCGUCGAGUCCUUCUUUCAAAAUGAAUAUAUAACUGAAUUAAAUGCGUACCAGGAAAUGGGCGUUACAGCUAAGGAUCUAGGAAGGAUGCCUUAUAUGCCUACUAUAUGUCCUUGUAGAUCUGCAUGCUAGUACUGAUCAGUUAGUGAUAUGAUAGUCUGUUUAGGUUAUGCCUGAUUUUAUGAGCCUUUGAAUUACAUGCUAGUAUAGAUUCCUAAUAAGAGGAUAGAAUGGCUUGUUUGGUUUGAUUUUAUGUUGUCUGAAUGCUGCUUGCUUUGUGCUUUGUGGGACUUCGAGUGAUGGGAGUUAAUUACUAGAUGAAUACGUUAAGUCACAUGUGACUAGGGUUGAAUAAUCUCAGAGUGUUGGAUUUGACCCUAUUGUGCAGCUCUCGUCUGAGUCUAACCGUUGUAGGGAUGAGUCCUUUACGCAAAGGAUUAUCUGAGCCUUGUCACAUGUGAUGGUAUUCAUGUAGUGGUUAAUUGGCAUCAUGAAGAGUCUUUCAGCAGCUGAGGACAGGGUGGGUUCAGGAAUCUAGGAAAGCCUAGGAUGAGUUUACUGUUGGGAACAGUGUUAGUAGAAAGUAACUUGGAGGAUUCGGGAUGAUUGAUGAGGAAAGUAUGGAUAGGUGUGGAAGGUGGUAUUGGGCCCGUACUACUGAAAGCACAUGAUCCAUAAUCGAAUUGAUGAGAGUCUUGGAGAAUUUGAGAAGCUUCGGGAAGGAGUUUAUGACCCAGUUUGGGGACAGAGGAUGUUCUAAAUGCUGCAGCUCAGUCAUUGGCAAGUGAGCAAGUAAGUGUGAUAGGGUGUCAGACCCUGUAGGAUAUGACUUCUAAGUCCGAGGAUGCGAAAUCGAUUUGGCACUUUGAGAGGAUAGGGUCAUGUCAGGUGCAUAUAGUAGGGGGUCUUGGGGAGAGACCCAAUACUUCUGAUCAUCGGGUGAAAGGCCAGGGAGUUUCACAAUCCAGGAGUUAGGCUGCCACAAGUGUAGCGGGGGUUAGUCAUGUCAGAAGAAGGAGUCAGUCCCUAUAGUUUCAGACAAGAGAAGUCAGAACUCUCGCAGGCGAUGCUGCAGGUAUGUAACCUUGCCUUCUUUUAGUUUUAUUUUCACAUUGUUGUGGGAAUUAUGUUGUGGUUUGGGAUACUAUAGUAGGAUGAGUAAGUGUAUCCCUAGUUUAUCUCUUUACUCCUGUUAGGUUAGAUCAUUAAAUAUCAUCAUAUGCCAAUUGCAUGCUGUGAAUUACUAGUGGUUAGUGUAAUAUCGUUCUCCUUUUGCUAGUUUGCGGUGCUCAGUGUUCUCUCGGUUCAUAGUACAGACUUGUCACAGGGCAGUAAGGGGCUCAUUUGGAGCCCAAAGCCUAUGAACCCUUAGAGUCCUUCGGGAAGGAGAAUCCUAUUGUUAGUUCAUGUCAUCAAGAUUGGAAGGGAGUUUUGCACCAUGUCCUCGGAAUGAUCGAGGUAUCUCGGGAGGAGGUGAUCAGGAAUCCUUCAGAUGACUAUGGGUGUGUAUUUUCUGCUAGUCCUAGGUGGAUGUUAGGAAUAUGUAUCGCUCUGGAAAUUAUGAGUGAGUUUGGAUAAGUCAGAUCUCGGUUUGGUUCUCUACUAUUUUCUGGGUUAUCAAGGAUUUUUAUAUGCAAUCCUGCAUGCCGAAAAGUCAUUGGUGAACCUGCAAAGGGACAUACCUUGCGAGUGGGUUCUACGUGUACCGUUAUCCUUCCGAAUUCUUAUCGGAAUAUGUGCAAGAGUAUUAUUUGCAGGAUAUUUGGUCAGGGUUGGACUGAUAGUUAUCCAGUGAAGUCAGAGUUCAGUGGUUCCAUCAUUGUUCGGGUAUGGUUGACAAGUGUCUAUGGAAGAACCUUGUAGUUUGAGGCACUACCAUUGCUAGGAAAGGACUGGUAGCAUGAAUAUGGUAGUGUCAGUUGUGGGUGUUAGAUGCAUAAACGGUUGAUCGUUGGAUGGUCAUGAGAAUCGCAUUUUCGCAUGGGUUGUGUUCGGUAGAGCUAAGUGGUGCUGCAAGAUUGGAAGUAGGAAUGAGGAUUUAUCAACCAGGGUAAAGAUUAAGACCUCUAGUUGUCAGCAGGGGAGGUGGACGGAGGUGUCGAACCCGACCAAAUUUCAAGAGUACUCUUCAAGAUUUUAGAGGAUGGGCGAUCUCAGUGUUUAACCGGUGAUUGAUUGCUAGCAUUGGUAAGCACAGGUUGUCAUCAGUGGAUUAUUAAGAAGCAAGAAGGAUUAGAAAUCCUUCAAUUCUUAUGUGUUGUGAAGACUUGGUCGAAUCUAAGUGGGGGAGAAUCAAUCAGGUACCCAGGAGAAGAAAUGGGUAUGGAACUAGGAUGAGUUUUGCGUCCCUGUCAGAGGGGGAGGGGGUCGAGUAACCAUCUAGGUUGAGGAAUUGUGGGAGUUGGGAGCUCAGGAAAUGUCCCAACAUUUGGUCUAUGUUUUCCCUUGGCAUCGGAUAGCAGGCCUCGGGAAACUGGUCAGGGAUUUCAGACAGGACAUGAGUUCAGAUUAGGAUAUUAGAUUGUGUAUGUAUGCUCGACCUUAGGUGCGUUCAGAUUAGUAAUCAAUGGUAAGAACAUGGUUAGUGGUGGAGUUAGCGUGGAAAGUGAUAUAAGACUGUGGGUGUAGCCGUAGCAUUCACAAGGUUCUCAUGUAGUGUUGGAGGUGUUGUAAGUCUGUGGGUAUAGCUAUAGCAUUCACAAGGUUCUCAGACAGCGUUAGAGUGUUGUAAGUCUGCGGGUGUAGCCGUAGCAUUCACAAGAUUGGAAGAUAGUGCUAGAGUGUUGUAAGUUUGUGGUUGUAAUCGUAGCAUUCACGAGGUUGUAAGAUAAUGCUAGAGUGUUGUAAGGCUGCAGGUGUAGUCGUAGCAUUCACAAGGUUAGAAGAUAGUGCUAGAGUGUUGUAAGACUACAGGUGUAGCCGUAGCGUUCACAAGGUUUCCAGUUAGUGUUGGAGGUGUUGUAAGUCUGCGGGUGUAGCCAUAACAUUCAUAAAGUUGUUAGAUAGCGUUAGAGCGUUGUAAGUCGUGGGGGUAGCCGUAGUUUUCACUAGUUUGAUAGAUAAUAUGGGAGUGAUGUUAGAUCGCGAGAAGUACAGUAGUACCACCAGUUCGGGUGCAGUAGUGAGGAUAUGGAAAUCCACAGAUUGGGUUACGGAAUUACCCUGAUGGGUUAGAACUGGUUGAGCCAACGAUAAGACCGUGGGGAUGCCACGACAGUCAUGGGAUCAAGGGAACAAUAGUCCGCAUAAGGUUAAUUAUGAUAUAAUGCUAUCUUCAGUCAUGUAGCAAUCACUUUUAGCCUUGGAUGUGGUGACAUCGGAAUUUGACGUAUGGAUCGAUCAGUCGGAUCGGGAGGUCGUUAGGGCCAGAGUGGCAAGAUAACUAAUGGAAACUAUUAACAGAUGAGGAGUUUGCUCGAAAGUCGCUUAGGGAGACUGUGUGGGAGUCUUUUGGCUCUGUAAUCGGGCCGAAAACAGUAGUUCAGAUGACUGGCAGACGAAUCGAGACCACGAAGGUCUCAAUGGAUUUUGGAAAGCAGCCGAGAAGUAGCAUAUUAUUCAGGCCGUUUAGUGUUUCAGUCCAUUCAUCGUUUCAGACCGUUCAAUGUUUCAGGCAGUUUAAUGUUUCAGACAGAUCAACGUUUCGGGCAGUUCCAGUGUAUCGGACAGUAUUGGUGAUUUUAGGAUUUCAUGUAUGGACAGAGUAACUGGUUGAUGGGAAGCAAUAAGUCACUCGCAGUGGGAUUAAAUAAUCUCAGAGUAGUUGAUUUGACUCUAUUGCACAGCUCUUGUAUGAGUCUAACUGUUGCAGGGAUGUAUCUUCUACUCGAAGGAUUACCUGAGCGCUCUGUCAAGUAUCAGUAUUCUACAGCUAGUUAUGGACAAGGAUUUUGUUCUGGUGAUAGAAUUGAUAUAAUUAGUACUAGGGAGUGUGCAUGUAGUCAGUUGCUUGAUGAGGUCUUGGCGCAGAAGUUUUGGGGAUAUAGGCGGUCCGUCUGGGAGACAGACCAUUAUAGAAUUCAGAUCUCGGAAGAACAGAAGUAGUUCUCGACAUGACAAUAAGGAUUGAUUCUUUGUCGGUUUGGAAAGUCCUAGUAGUUGGUUUCAGCUGCCUUGGGAAGGCCACUGAAUGUUGGGAGUGACAGUUAUACCACCAGGAUCACGGGUGUCACUCCCGUGGAAUUCAUCAGAUGGUUCAGGGUGGGUAGGAGUCAAGCUGCGGGUUUGAGUGCGUGAGAUGUAUCCGGGAUAGAGGAUUGUAGAGGAAUUCGAGGAUGAAGUCUAGUUUAAUUGGGGGAUAUUUGUAACACCCGGAGUCCAGGAGACCUAGAAAGGAAAAAAAACAAUAAAUGAAGAGGAACUCGCUAAGUCCAGGGAGGAACUCGAUGAGUAGGAGCAGAUUUUGGGACGCUGGUAAAAUAACCUAGUCGACGAGUUGGAGGACCAACUCGGCGAGUUGGUCGGGGUUUGAGAAACCCUAAAUCUGGGUCUAGUACCCUAUUUAAGCAUCUUAUUCUCCUCCCAUGCAGCCCCCAUCAUUUCCCUUAGUCUAGAAAACCCUAACUCGCGACCCUUGAGCUUUGAUGAGUGUGUGAGUCAUUUUUUAGAGUGUUUGUGUGAUCUUGAAGCUAGAAGAAGAAGAAGAAGAAGAAGAAGAAGAAGAAGGAUCUAGAAGGCUCAAUGAAGCAGUAGAUCCAGGGUUCAAGCUCCAUUUCCAAUCCCUUUAGGGGUAUAAAGUUGCUUCCUUGACUUCCCUAUUGCUAGAUCUCUCCAUGUUUAAGUUUAGGACCAUCUUUUAGCAAUUUGUGAACCUUUUUUUAGUAUGGAGUGUGAUAUAAAGUAGUAACUUUAGAUCUAGAUCCCUUUCAGCCCCUAUAUCCAAAAAGUUCAUGAAUUUAUCCUGCUUUAACCCUUCCCUUUGGCCUAGACUUCAUUUUAGACUUGGAAAUAAUGUUUUGGCUCAUAACACCUUGCAUGCACGUAAAGCUUGUAACUUUGCAUGUAAAAUCAACCCUCGGAGGUCAGAUCUAUGUUUUAGAUGCGUUAAGCCUAACUGAAAUCGACUAUAUGGACUUGGAAUUUAGGGGACUCGACAAGUCGUUCAUAAGACUCGGCGAGUCGGGUCAUGGUUCCCCAACCUUUUCUGUUUUGAAGCAAUCUGAUUGGGUCUGGAAGAGGACUCAACAAGAUGGACGUGAAUAUGGACUUGAAGAUCAAGGAACUCGACGAGUUCAAGGAUGAACUCGAGAAGUUCAAUGUAAUGUCUUGACUGAUAUGAAGAAGAACUCGACGUGUUCAAGAAAGAACUUGGCGAGUCAAGGGCUAUACAUUCCAACUUAUAUGAAGCAGGACUCGACGAGUUCAAGGAUGAACUCGGCAAGUCAUGAGCAAAAAGGCCCCGAUUCUGCAUGAAGAAGAACUCGAUGAGUUCUUCAAAGACUCGACGAGUAGGAUCGAAGUUUCGGUAUUUUGUGGAUUAUGGAACUCGAUGAGUUGGUGGAGCAACUUGGCGAGUUGAGUCUACCAGAUGUUGACUUUGACCAAAAUUUGUCUUUGACCAGGGUGUUGGCCUUGACUUUGACUUUCACCUGAGUUGACCCUUGAAAGGGUUAUGAGCAUGAAAUGGUAAUUAAGGAAGGAUGUUGUGUAGGAGUUUGAGGAGUUUUAAGAGGAGUUGAUCCCAACACCGAGCACAAUUCAGAUACUACACGACAUUGAGGUGAGUUACUAUCAUAUAGAAGUGGGUCUAAGGUACCAAGGUCGGCCCACUAGUAAGAGUUAUAGUAAAGACAAUUUUCUUCAUGAUAAUUGUUUGGUAUGUUGUUAUCAGUUAUAAUUGUGUGCUGGCCUGAUAUGUUCUUAUGUGAUAGUAGGUAGUAGGGGGAUUAGUCCUCGUGUUAUGGUCGUAUGCACCGAAGGGUAGGUCAGGCACCCCUGAUAUGCCUGACAGUAUGUUUAUGCUUUGUUAUUAUGUAGUAGUAGUAGGGGUGAAAUAGUCCCCGUAGCCGGUUGAGAUAAACUGGAGGGUAGGUUGGCACCACAGAAUUGCUAGACAGGGUAGGUCGUCACCCUAGAAUUGCCAGACAGGGUAGGUUAGUACCGUAGAAUUGCCUGAUAGGGAAGGAUGGGCACCCAAGAAUUACCGGACAGUAUGUUAGUUAUGUGGUAUGUGGUAUGAUGGGGGAACUCACUAAGCUUUGUGCUUACGAUUUUUAGUUUUGGUUUCAGGUACUUCGUUUUCAAAGGAAAGGAUCUGGCGAUCGAAGCGCAUCACACUUUGUUUUCCGCACAUGAGAUCUUUGGGAUUACACUCUGGUAUUAUUUUAUGAUAACAUGUUUGACUAUUGACACUUUGGUUUUGACAUGAGAUGUUAUUAUGGAUGUUUUUGUACUAAUUGGUUUUAUGAAUUGUUAAACUAAAAACAAAAUUUUUGGCCUUAAAUUUUGGGAUGUUACACAAGUGGCAAGAAAAUCUAGAUAUUUAAAGAGAAUUCGGCCAAAACUUGGGUGAUUUCGGUCAAGGCAUGGCCGAAAUCACUUAGUACACAACUCCAAUUGUUGAUUUCGGUCCUAUUGGGCCUUAACCAUGUGAUUUCGGUCUUGGUGUCACCAAAGAAAAGGGUGAUUUUGGUCCUAACAUCCUUAAAGGAAUUGAUUUCGGUUCUAGCAUCCUUAAAGUAAGUGAUUUCAGUCCAGAAGUAUUUCCUAGAUUCCCAAAACCGAAAUCCCUAAAUUAAUUUAAAAUUUCAUGCUUUUAGACUUAUCAUUUUGACUUGUGUUGACUCCUUUGAUUCCUUGAUGACUUGUCGACUUUAUUUGACUUUCAAAGGUCCAUUACUACACGUCAUUCAAAGUGUAUAUACAUGUUAACUUAUAUAAACAUGCUCUCAUGGUUUUCAAAUUUCUAUUGCAUCAAGUAUGUUGUGAAUUUACUUUUACAUGGUUAUAAUUUAGACCUUGCUUGCUCUAAAAUUUUCCAGUUGUCAUAUCAUCCCCCCGUUAGAAGGAAUUUCGUCUCGAAAUUAGUUUCAGAGUGGUUACUCAUGAGCUAAGGAAGAGAUUUGGGUACUUUUGUUUCAUCUGAUUUUCUCGUUCCCAAGUGAAUUUAGGUCCUCGUUUGGUGUUCUACCAGACCUGCACUAUUUGUAUAAGACUUUGUUUCGUUCUCUUCAUCUGUCCAUGAUUUCUGUUGGUUCUUCUACGAAGUGUAGACUCUUAUUUACCUUGACUUCAUCGAAUGGAAUUACUAGAGUCUCGUCGAACAAAUACUGUUUUAGAUUGGGCGUGGAAGAUGGGGUGUAUGUUACUAAGUUCCUGCGGUAGUUGAGGUUUUCAAAGAUUUCUGUAACGAUUGUCAAAAACGUGAGCCGAAUUGAUUGUCCCUUAUCUGUGAUAAUUGAUAGCGGUAUACUUUGCAGUCUCACAACUUCCUUGUUGUAUGUUCUUGUCUGUUUUUCUAUUUUAUCUGUUGUUUUGAUCAGUAGGAAGUGUAUGGGUUUGGUUCAUCACUCAAAUGGUUGCGUUUCCACCUGCAGUCCUGGGAAACUCUGCCCUAUAAUUCGUGGUAUAACUCAUACCUGGUUCAUCUAUCAUCGCUUUGUGUAUACAAGUCGUAUAUAAUUAAGAUUGGAAAGACAGUCGGAUAAGUGAUUCAACCUUAUGCCCACAACCAAACAAGGAACGGGAUUUAUGGUGGGAUCACACAUCCUAAGUCUGUAGAAUCCUAAUUAUAUACCACCCUUACGUAUGCACCUAGUAUUGAUAAAGUACCAGCAUGGUUCCUUAGUUUCUACAUGAGUGAUGCGAUUAGUUUGGGUGAGAAGGUAAUUACAACUACUUUUUCCAUAGCAACUGUGUUUUAGGUCGAUUCUUGAACUUGACUUGUUGUUCGAGUGGUAUUCUCAAGAGGUCUCCUGGGAGUACUUCGGAAAGUUUACGGACUUCUGGAAUAUCCCUGAUGUCUCACACUUCUUGUUUCUUGUUCACGACGUAGGUUAGUAAAGCUUGUUACCUCUUGUGUAAGUACUUUUGAGUCUUGACGAAAGGGAUGAUUUGAGAGUUUGAGUCGGGUUGGUCAUCAUAAGUGACGAGGGUUUCAUUAGUUGGUAGGUUAAGGAGAACGGAUUUUUCAUACAUAUGAUAUUGGUACGGUUAGGACUUAACCAAUACGUGCUAGUGAUCACGAUGAAAAUUUUCUAUUGUAACUAUUAUUAGGCCGAUUUGGAAGGAUUUGCUGCUUUAGUGUUUGAGUGCAUCCUAUGUAUAUAUCUUUAGUGUUUUUUAGUUUUUACAUUUUGUUAUUUCUACUAUGAAUAUUUCAUCCCACAAUUUAGUAAUUACAGGUAGUACAAGGGUUUUGCUAAAUUAGUAAUGAAAUCUCAUAGAAUGAUCCCUACCAGGUCCUUUUAUGAUCGCUUGGUGUAUACAAGUCAUAUAUAAUCAAGAUCGAACAGACUGUCGGAUAAGUGAUUCUACUCUAAGCCCACAACCAAACAAGGAAUAGGAUUUAAAAUGGAACCACGAAUCCUAAGUCCAUAGAAUCUUAAUUAUAUAUGACCCUAAUGUAUACAGUAAGCCAUCAUAGAUCAUCCAUAAGGAUCAUUAGUUUUUAUAUGAAUGAUGUGAUUUAUUUGGAAGAGGGGAUAACUUAUGAAUAUGCUUUAUCGCAUUUCGAGAUCAUUGUUUGAUAAGAUCUAAUUGGCACUCGUUUUAGUGAAUAUUAGACGCUUAAAUAUUUCUAUUUGAAAACGUACCAAUAACUACAGUUGGUUCUGGGAGAGUCUCUCCUACAGUGAUCAUCAAUACAGUUGGACACUGCCUUUUGAAAUGCCCCGACUCACCACAAUCGUAGCAGGUACGACUCACUCCAGCAUUGGCGACUUGGGUGAUUUGUUGUGCGGGAGUCCUAUAAAAACAGGCAGCGUGCCCCUUUUUUUUGCAAAUGUUGUAGUACAUUUAUUGGUAGCCUCUAUUGUGAUGGAAGUUGCAUUUUCCGCAUUUGGGUAGGUUGCCAACAUAUUGUCUUAAUGGUGUUGUAGGUGAUUGGUUUUGGUCCUAAGAACAUCCUAUGUGCUCAUACAAACCCUAAUGCUUGGAUCUAGGUUUCUCUAUUGUACAUGCAUGUUAUCCAAGACUAUAAACCCUAAUUCUAGCAUUCAAGUAAUCAUAUUAACAUGAGAAUAGGUUUAAGAUAUUACUUUGAUUGUUAUAUAGCAAUAACAAUCCCAAAUCCUUCUUCUAUUGACUUUAGAAAGCUUAGAGUCACAAAUGUCACUCCUCUAAUGGUUCACAAACACCAAGAGCAAGAGGAUGAGGAGGAGAGAGGAUGGAGGCUUCCCUAAAACGUGUGAAACCCUAGAAGGAUGCUUAGCCACGUUUUUGGGUCAUAAGGGAUGUAUGUAUAGGAGGCUAUUAGGGUUAUCUUAACAAGGAAACCCUAAUUUGGAUGCUUAAGCCCUAAGCAACCCAUAGAUUCCUUUCCUUAAGGCCUUGGAUGAUUUCCUCAUGGGUUUCCCCAUGGAAUUCGUCCACUCCUUAAUAUAAGGCAAUCUAUGGCCCAAAUUGCAAUUAUCUUAUAAUUACAAUUCUAGUCCCUUAAGUUUAAUUAAUCUCUUUUAGUCACAAAACUAAUUACCAAUUAAUUAUUGACUAAUAUUAAUUAAACAAUAUGAUUUCUCCUUUAAUAUAUUAUUCUCAUAGUAUAUUAAUAAAUCAUAUUUAAUCCUUUCUCUCUAUAAUUCAUCCUAUCAAGUUGCUUUGGUGAAGGCAACCCAAAAGGACCAUGCACCAUCGGGUCAAGUACAUACCAAAAUAGUUAUGGACUUAGACACUAAUCCAACAGUAGGGUUAAAUGGCAAUGUGGACACCAAUGAUUUGUUGUUUCUUAGUGGGCUAUCUCUUCCUCUAAGGAGUAUAGGUGGUCCAUAAUGUUUUCCUAAUCUGCUGGUAGGUGUGGCAUCCAUAUGGUGUCCUUGUUCCCCGUAGUUGUGUUAAUUUUUGCACCGUCAUGUUCCGAGCUUUGCUACUGAUCUCCAUUACAUCGUCACAGAGAGUCUAAACCCGAAUUUCCGAUCGGGCCUCUCAUGCUACGAUCAGGAGUAGUGUUUGAUUUGUAUGUGCUAAGGCCCGAAGUAUAGUGUAGUGGGUGUACUUAUAUUGUGGUGAUGUAUCUUGGAAAGAUAGAGGUGAAAGGGUCUUAUGCCUACUCCUAGUAAGGUAAGGUUCCUUAACAAUCUAACGGGCGCCCUUCUCUUCAUCUGAUCUCUUCUCAGGAUCCUUCUCAUAAACUUCUUUUGGUUCUUCUUCAAUUCAUCUAUUGGCUGUAGUGGUAGGGUUACAGUGUCUAGAUAUGCCGUUGGUGCGAGAAUAGGGGUCUAUAAAGAAUCUAUGAGGUUAAUAGAAGCAUUUUUAAUGAAGUUUUUAUGACGUGAUCCUUAACGGGUCCUCCUAUAAUCACAUAGUGUAUACAAGUUGUAUAUAACCAAGAUCGAAUAGACCUUCGAAUAGGUGGUUCCACUCUACGUCCACAACCAAACAAGGAAUAGGAUUUAAAGUGGAAUCAUAAAUUCUAACUCUAUUAAAUCUUAAUUAUAUAUAACUCUAAUGUAUACACUAAACAAUUAUAGACCUACCAGUAAGGGUCUUUAGUUUUCAUAUGAAUUAUCUAUAGUAUCAUAAAAUACUCCUAUAAUAUUUUAAUUUCUUAUGAUUCUAGAAUUUUCUUGGUAUAUAUAGAGCUGGUAAGUUUUAGAUAUGUUGCUCACCACGACUAUUCCCAAGCAUAUGCUAGUCACCCCUCAGAUAAAUAUAGUUGAUGAGGCUAUAUUCAUCUAAGACCUGAUUACAUAUACCAAGGUUUACUCAUAGUGUCCAACUUAUCUUAAUACUUUUAUUUUAUUCUCAUUAUGACACUGCUCUAGUAUGUAUGUAUGUGUGUAUGUAUGUAUACUUCUAUAAAUAUUAUUAUAUUUAAAAGUAUAACUCUUGGUCAGAGUGUUUUAGCCCCAUUGUAUUUAUUGUUGUAUAUCUUAUAUGGUUUGAUAUAUUUAGUUCACUAUAAACAUUGCUCUGAUACCAAUCGGUCACACCCCCAAACCGGAAUGGCGGAAACAUCCGGGGGUGGGUGAUGUCAUGUACAGUAUCAUAACAAUUAAAUAGUAGUAAUCAAGGCAGCACAACCAUCAUACUGAAAAUAUAUAAUUCACAUUUUGUUCGAAUCAUUAUUUGUUUGACACCAAAACUAUAGCCAAAAACUAAGAUGUGACGCUACUAUACUCCUUCUUCUCGAAACCUGUGUGGGUACCUGUCUACUAAUUUUCAAAGAAUACAAGUGGUUUGAAAAAGUGUCAAAAUUUAAGUUGGUGAGUUCAUAAGCAUUUUGUAUGCAAAGGUAUGUUCUUUGUUCAUUGAAAAUAUUAGUGUGUUCUUCCAGAAAAUCCAAUAUUUUCUUUGUAUAAGUGUUGUAGUCUUACUACCUUAAGACCAAAAAGUGUAAGUUUCUUAUGUUUAAAAUUUGUAAUAUGAAGUUCUAAUUUAUAUAAGUGGUGUGACCCAUAUGGGUACCUCUUAUGAUCACUUAGUGUAUACAAGUUAUAUAUAAUCAAGAUCGAACUGACAGUCGGAUGAGUGAUUCUGCCCUAAGCCCACAACCAAACAAGGAACAGGCGGAAUCAUACAUUCUCAUGCGUAUAGGAUCUUAAUUAUAUAUAACCGUGACGUAUAUGCUAAGUAAUCACAAAGUUACCAAUAAUGGUCUUUUCAGAAGUGUAAGUUGCACUAUACUAGAAUAAUAGAGUACUACAAUUGUAUUUGUAUGUAACCCUUUUAUAUGUGUGUUUCUAGGAAUGUAAAUUGUGUUUUAAUGGAAAAUCAUGUAAUGUAGUUUUAUUACUAAGUAAAACUAGUUGAAGAUGUGUUUGCCCCGUAAAAUAAAUGUAAAGUAAGUAACCCUCUAAGACUGUUUGAAAAAAUAUAUUACUCCGUAAAUGUGUCGUUGUUUUCUCCAUGUGAGUUCCUAUAACCAUACUAUGACCCAGUCGGUCUGAUACGACAUUCUUCAGGCGUCAAAAUAUUAACGAUAUUUGUCACCCCAGACUUAUCGGUCCAACUAUAGCUAAUAGUCAGGGUGUGGGAUUGUCGGUACCAUAUAGAUCGAUACACAAAUAUCUCGCUCUCCCUACAAGAGACUCUGGUUAUAAGUCAGGUCUUUUUUCGGUACUUAGGUAAGUACGUGAAGACGUGUCUCACAAAUUUAUUGCUUCAACAAGUUUACGAGUAAUGAAAUGAAAACCCUUAAGAAAUGAAAAUGUAAAAGCCUUUAGUAAAUGAAAAUGUAACUUUUCCAUAGAAAUUUUUGAGUGUAUAAAUAUUGUAAAAUGACCUAUAAACUAUACCUAUUAUAUAGUUUAUAAUGUAUGUUCUUUUGAAAUGACAAACCUUUGAAUUUUAACAGCUUUUUAUGUAAGAGUUUAUAAUUUUUGUAGUAACGUUAUUUAACUUUUUUCCGUAAAGUGUACAUAAAGUAUAAGAAAACAUAAUAAGAGACCUGUAUAUUUACACAAGUAUUCUUGUGUUUUAACUUGUAUUCUCCCCCUAAAACAUAAAAAAAAAGCUUGAAAUGUGGAGGUAUGAACUGACCUCGACUGUGAUCGUGGUUAGAUGACAAGGUAAAAAUGGUGAUCUUCGAGUUAGAACGCUAGAAGGUAGUUGUAUCCUAAUCAUUUUAAACACAUAAUAAUAUGUUAAAAUUAAAUGAACUAUCAUGGUAUUGUGGUUGUAUAACACUAGGUUAUAAGAAAUGCUUACCAAGAUUCUAAAGAAUAACUUUGAAGAAAUAGACUUCCUGGGAUUGUUUUGAACUUGGGGUUGAAAGGAAAAUGGGUUUGUGUUCUGAGAGAUUAUGAAGUGAAGUUUGUUUACUGUAAAUGUGGGUUGAUAGGAUCAUAAUUUGUGACUUAUAUAGGAAGAAAUAAUAUAAGAUGAUGCGAUAUAUGCAUUGGUAAGUGUAAUAUAUCACAUUGGGAAGAGUAUCAACCAAUCAAGUGGCAAGAAAAUCUAGAUAUUUAAAGAGAUUUCGGCCAAAAAAUGGGUGAUUUCGGUCAAGUCAUGACUGAAAUAACUUAGUACACAACUCCAAUUGUUGAUUUCGGUCCUAAUGGACCUUAACAAUGUGUUUUGGGUCUUGGUGUCACCCAGGAAAAGGGUGAUUUCGGUCCUAACAUCCUUAAAGGAAGUGAUUUCGGUUAUAUCAUCCUUAAAGGAAGUGAUUUCGGUCCAGAAGUGUUUCCUAGAUUCCCAAAACCGAAAUCCUAAAGUAAUUUACAAUUUCAUGCUUUUAGACUUAUCAUUUUCACUUAUGUUGACUCCUUUGAUUCCUUUAUGGCUUGUCGACUUUAUUUGACUUUCAAAGAUCCAUUACAACAUGGCAUUCAAAGUGUAUAUAUAUGUUAACUUAUAUAAACAUGCUCUCUUGGUUUUUAAAGUUCUAUUGCAUCAAGUAUUUUGUGAAUUUACUUGUACAAGGUUAGAAUUUAGACCUUGCUUGCUGUAAAAUUUUCUAGUUGACCCAGUAAUAAUACUAGGUUUCGUCGAAGGAAAAUAGAAUCAUUAGAAUCGAAGCGCUGCCCGAGUUUGGAAUCAUCACUUUAAAAGGUGAGUGCAUAGUUACUUUCAUCUUACACAUAGAUAUGAAGUAGUUACUAUUAAUACGUGUUAUAUGUUCUUAUUAUCAAUGUUCCUGAUAUCUAUGCUAGAUGAACGAUUUAUACAUGUUUUGCUUGAUUUAAACAGUAUAUGUAUUUUUAUACCUAUAAAUAUAUUGGGUAAAGAUGAGUAGAUAAAAGAUGAUAUAGAUGAAGAGAGAUGAAAGAUGGUAUAGUAUGAUGAAAGAAAGGAUGUCAUAGUAUGACAAAAGAAGUAGGCAAAUAUAGAAUGCCACGACUUUAGAAUUGUUAUUUUAUCAACGAUGUAGUGACUUAGCAAAGAAUAGGUGACAACUAUCGGACUAAUUAAUGAUAGACCUGUAGAACACUGGCAGCUAUGGACUUAGUGCCCUAUAGGUGAACAUUGGAAGCUACGGACUUAGUGCCUUAUAUAUGAACGUUGGCAGUUGUGGACUUAGUGCCUUAUAAAUGAACAUUGGCAGCUAUGGAUUUAGUGCCAUAUAGAUGGAUAUUGGCAGCUAUGGACUUAGUGUCUAUUAGAUAACAUCGGCAGCUAUGGACUUAGUGUUUGUUAGAUAAACCCUGGCAACGAUGGACUUCGUGCCUAUUCCUUAGGACAAUCCUUAUGAAUGAAUGAAGGAAGAAUAGAUGAUUCUUAGGGUAGAUCCUUAAGAAUAAAGAAGAUAAUAGGGAUGGGAGGUUGGGUUAAUUGUUUGAUGAUUAAACAUAAUAACUACGUUAUUGUGGGUUGAAAACCCUAUGUACUCACCAGGUUUCCCAGCCUGACCCACUCAGUUUAUUUGUAUUACAGGUAUCGAUACGAAGCUACAUUACACUAAGAGAUUAAAGGAGAUGUAAAUCACUACUGUAAAUGAAUGUAAGGUCUGUUUAUGCUAAUGUUUCUGUAUUGACGAUGACAUCCCAAAGUUUUAAUAUAAAUAAAAUACAUUUCUUCAGAAAUGCUUUGAUAAUAUAUUUAUCAUGUUUUCUAGGAAAAAAUUCUACAAUUUUAUUCUUUAAAAUGAAUACACUGAUUUUAAAAUAAGCAUAAAUAAAAUUUUAAAAAUGACCGUGAAUUUAGGGAUGUCACAGUUGGUAUCAUAUCAUUAGUUUAAGCGAACUAGUAAUAAGGAUUUAUUUCUAGAGCUAAACUUAUAAUGCUAAGCGAUGAUCGGGAGGCGUGUGUCUAAUAUAUUUUAGGAAGUACCCUUGACUAGACACGAGAAAUAGCUCAUUUAGGGAAGAUGUCUAAAAAGCUUUUAUGUGCUAAAUGAAUUGUGGUGCUUUGUGAUUCUAUCCUUUGAUCAGAUCUAUGGUCUGUUGUCGACCGGAUCUGGAAACUUUAUGUGUUCAAAUUUCUAAACGUUUAAUUAUGGUAUUAGAUCUGCCAUGUAACUUUUCAGAGUUAUAGGGAGGUUUAUACGUUUGAUUCCCCUAUCUAAAUUAUCGUCGCUGUACACUGAACGUUUAAUUUGUUGUAUAGAUCAAAAUGGUGAGAACUCGGAGCAGAUUAGGAAAUGCAAAUGGAAACCAAUAGCCACAAGUGAUUUACUGUGCACAAGAGGUAGCAGUUGCACCCAAGUUAAUCACGAUGGCUAGAGUCCAAGAAAUGAUUCGGGCUAUGAUGGUUGAAAAAGGGGAGGAGAUGAGGAAAAUAUUGCUUAAUAAGGAUGAACCUACUGUGCCUAUUGUGUAGUCCGAACUAAAUGAAGAACUAUCAUAGGAGGGAAAUUAUAGCCAUAUUGUGAGUCAAGUUAGACCCUAAGUGGUCAGGAGGAAUGACCAGGAUAAAAGGAUUGACAGGGAUGGGCGUAUGUAUAAGAACUUCUUGGGGUGCCAAACCACCAAGUCUUUCUGGAAGCCCAAAUCCAGUGGAAGUUAUGGACUGGAUCUCCGAGAUGGAAAUAGUAUUUGAAAGCUGCAACUGCAGCGAUAAGCAAAAGAAUGUAUUUGCAGUCAGACAACUAAAGACCGAAGUUUUGAGUUGGUGGAAGUUGUUGGCAGAUACAAUGUCACGGGGAGAAACCAUGCGGAUGUCUUGGGAAGCAUUCAUGGAGCAGUUGAAAACGCAAUACUGCUCAUAGAUAGAUCUUAUAGACCUAAACAAUGAGUGAUAGAACCUAAAAAAAGGAAGACGAGUGUUGAUGAGUAUGCCACCGCAUUCACUGAUAGGAUGAAGCUAUUGCCCUACUUGGUGCCUACUACACUUUCCAAGAUAGAUAGAUUUGCUAAUAGACUUUGGCCCAACGGUUAAAAUCUCAACUACUUUGAAGACAGUCGUUAGAGCAACUAAGAAUGUAGAGACCCAUAUAAGAGAAAAGGGUCUAGAAAAAGAUAAGGUGGGAGAAAAGAGGAAAAUGAAGGUAUCCUCAAUAUUUGAUAAAAAGGGAAGAUUCUCAAAGUCCAACCUGGAUGACCAAAAGUAUGGAGCCAAGUGGUGUGAAAAGUGCAAGAAAAAGCAUUAUGGGAGAUGCAACGGACAAGUGACUUGCUACACAUGUAGGAGGAUUGGACACUAUUCCAAGGAUUAUACAUUUAAUGAUAAGGUAUGAUAUCGAUGUGGAAGGAGCAUAUGUCAAAAGAUUGCCUGAAGAAAAAUGAAGCAGCAAGGCUAAAUGUGUCACCAAAGCCGGAGGCAAGAGCAUUCAAGAUGAUCCUUGACGAAGCAGGUGACAAUGAAAGGGUUCUAGAGUGAGGAUCUAUAUAUCCAAAGAUCGAGAUAUGAAGUAGCCAUAUAAAUAGUAUCAUGUGGUGUAGCCUAAUAUAAGAAGCAUAGUGUAGGGUGAACUUGAACAUCUAUGUAAACGUUUCAAGAAAUAAUAUAAACCUUAGUUAUGUUAUCCGAUGUGUUAAAUGACUAUGUGAAAUUCUUGUAUGGUGACUUGUAAAACUGCGAGACAAUACUUGGGAUACGUAUGAGUAGGUGUGAAAGGUAGUAGAGGCCUAUACUAUCGGAAUCACAUGGCUUGCACUUGGAUCAGGGAAAGUCACAAGGUUACCUAGGUAAUAGUAAUUGAUUCUAUUUUGUUCAUGUCCGUCGUUACCAUCAUUUCGGUAAUGACUAAGAAGAUGAUUGUUAUUCCAACCCUAGUGGUCAUAUCAAAUCGAGUCUGACUACGACGAGUAUGUUACGUGGUUCAGAGAACCAAGUUCGAUGUAGCAUCUGACUUAAGCCAGAAGAUCGAAAUGAAAGCGAUCAGUAAAAGUAUCGCGAUCAUUUUUAAAGUAAGAACUUGUAGCUAGAAGUGCUACAUGCUAUAAUGUGAUUAUAUCACACUAGAACAUGAAGGAAGCUAUAUUCCAUUCUGAAAUUUGGCUCUAAAGGACCUGAGUCUAAGCAUUGCAUCAUACGAUGAGAGGUCAUUAGAACAUGACACAUCAUUAUGUUACAAUUAUCGAAGUAAAGUCUAUUUAAGAAGGAGCAAGAGUCUCCAAUAAGGAUCGAUUUUGUAACUCAAAUAUUAUGAUUGAAAGUCCAACAUAGGAUAAAGAGCGGGUUUAAGAUUAAGCACCGCUUGCAAUCAAGGAGUCCAAGACUUAGAUAGUCAUUUGAAGGAACUUAGAAGUUAUGAUUAUUACCUAGGAUGAAGAGAUAACAUAUGGAGUCAUUAUACAAGCCUUGUUUCGUUGAUAAUUCUGGGACAUAAUCAUCCUAAAGGGGAGAUAAUUGUAACGCCCGUAGAUUCGGGCUAGUCAAUUUAGAGACAAUAAACGUCAAAAAAAUGAAUUUUUGAUAGAAUAUUAUUUAGAGUAAAUAAUCUUAAUCAUGUUAUAGUAUGUGUCACAAGGAUUCCAUACAUACAAAUAACACUGAAAUCCGAGUUAUAACGAAAAAGCUAUAACAUGUCGAAGUUUUACGGCAAAACCGACACGACACAUGGAAUCGUAAAAAGUGAGUUUGUGAUAAAAUACUUUUUAGCCUUAGUGAUCUAAAGGAAAUCCGUAGUAUACAUUAAGCCAAUAGUGUGCAUAAAAAGAACGUCCAAACCUGACUUCGUAUGAGGAAGUUAUGAUUUUUAUAAGAUUUAGCAUAGCAUUGCACAGCCCGGAAUUCGAAUUUUAGAUUGACCGAAUUUUAGCCGACACAAUCUAAACAAGAAUCUAAGAUCUCGUUAAUAAGAACUCAAUGAUAAAAAAAAACAGACGAAAACAGAUGUCAGAUGACAAAGUUAUGAAUUUUUAACGGAUUUUAACUGUCUAAGUCUGUUAAAAUAUAACUUUAAAAAUAAAUUCAAAAGUAGCCAAUGGGGUCUAAAUAAAAGUUGUGGAUCAUGUUUCCACCUACACGUGGAUAUGAAGAACGUCAAAAAUGGAGCUUGUAUGCGAAAGUUACGGAUUUUAGAAGAUAAUUAGCUUUCGAAAUAAUCUGUGAGUGACACGUGGCCCAAUCCUGGCCAUUGCUUCCUCCCCACGCCUUGCCACCAGAUGGUGACACUUGGCACUCCACUAGACGAGUUGGAGGCUCAUAACUCACUGAGUUGGGCCAUUUCCCAGCCUAUAAAUAGAGGCGCAAAUCGUCCAUUUCCUUUACACCUCUCCCAUUCAUUCUCUCUCAAACAUCUCUCUAAACCCCUUCCAAGCCUUAGUACUUCCCAAGUGCUAAGAGACAAAUUCUGAAGCGCCAGAAGGCUCGGAAGUUCUGCCCCCUAGAGCCCGGUUCCAAACCAAACCUCCUAGUAAGUGAGUUAUGCUUACCUUACUUUAUGUAUAACCUAUGUUUGAGUUCAAUAUCGUUAUUAUAAACUUAUAAGCAAUAUAUANNNNNNNNNNNNNNNNNNNNNNNNNNNNNNNNNNNNNNNNNNNNNNNNNNNNNNNNNNNNNNNNNNNNNUAUAUAUAUAUAUAAUACAAUAUAAUAUACAAAGUGUUAUUAUAAUAUCUUGUACUACUCGGGAUAUGGCGAAUCUGGUUUGAGGGGCCGCAUAUGGUUGUUGGAUUUCAGAAGUGCUAUAAUUGCAAAAUGAUCCUACCCUCUGGUGUUUCAUGUCUGUCCCCUGUCUGUACAUAGUGGUUAAAAAGGAUUGUUUAACACUUAUAAAACAAUAUCGCUCGUAAAUAGUCUCAAAAAAUAUUAGACUAAAAUCUAGUGGUAAUAAUACUAGGUUUCGUUGAAGGAAAAUAUAAUCGUUAGAAGCGAAGCGCUACCCGAGUUUGGAAUCAUCACUUUAAAAAGUGAGUGCAUAGUUACUUUCAUAUUACACAUAGAUAUGAAGUAGUUAAUAUUAAUAUGUGCUAUAUGUGCUUAUUAUAUGUGUUCCUGAUAUCUAUGCUAGAUGAACGAUUUAUACAUGUUUACUUGAUUUAAAUUGUAUAUGUAUUUUUGUACCUAUAAAUAUAUUGGGUAAAGAUGGGUAUAUGAAACACGAUAUAGAUGAAGAGAGAUGAAAGAUGGUAUAGUAAGAUGAAAGAUGGGACAUCAAAGUAUGACAAAAGAAGUAGGAAAAGAUAGAAUGCCAAGAAUUUGGAAUUAUUAUUUUACCAACAAUGUAGUCACUUACCAAAGUAUAGGCGACAACUACCAGACUAAUUGAUGAUAGUCCCGUAGAACACUGACAGCUAUAGACUUAGUGCCCUAUAGGUGAACAUUGGCAGCUAUGGACUUACUACCUUAUAUAUGAAUGUUGGAUGCUAUGGAAUUAGUGCCAUGCAAAUAAAUGUUGGCAACUAUGGAUUUAGUGCCCUCUAGAUGGACAAUGGCAGCUAUGGACUUAGUGUCUAUCAGAUAACAUCGGUAGUUGUGGACUUAGUGUCUGUUAGAUAAACCCUGGCAACAAUGGGCUUUGCACCUAUUCCUUAGGAUAAUCCUUAUGAAUGAAUGAAGGAAGAAUAGAUGAUUCUUAGGGUAGAUCCUUAAGAAUAAAGAAGAUAAUGGGAUGGGAAGUGGGGUUACUUGUUUCAUGAUUAAACAUAACAACUAUAUUAUUGUGGGUUGAAAAAUCUAUGUACUCACCAAGUUUCCCAACCUAACCCACUCAGUUUAUUUUUAUCACAGGUAUCGAUACAUAGCAACAUUACACUAAGAGAUUAGGGGAGAUGUAAAUCACUAGUGUAAAUGAAUGUAAGGUAUGUUUAUGAUUAUGUGUUUGUAUUCACAAUGACAUCCCACAGUUUUAAUAUAAAAAAAGACAUUUCUUUGGAAAUGUUUUGAUAAUAUAUUAAUCAUGUUUUCUGGGAACAAAUUCCGCAAUAUUAUUCUUUAAAAUGAAUAUUUUGAUUUUCAAAUAAGGAUAAAUAAAAAUUUUAAAAUGACCGUGAAUUUGGAGAUGUCACAAUAUCGAUGAUGAAUUUGUAUAUUUACUAAGAGAGAUUUGAGAAUCGGUUUGUGUUGGGCAUUUCUAGCAGCAACAUAUGACCUUUUUAUGUUUAUAUAUAAUAUUUGAAAUGUUUGGCUUUUUAUUGUUGAUUCAAUGACUAUUGACUAAUCAAUAUUUUUUAUGUGGGACAUAAUACUCUCACUAAGCCAAUGUUUCUUCAGGAUACACACAAUGGAAUCCUCUCUCAAAUACCGGUGUAGCCUGAGUCUGGUAACAAAAUUCAUUAUCCAUAAUCCCCCACUAGUUCUUUUCUUUAACUUUACAUAUCUCGCUGGCUUUAUGUGUUCUUCUACUCCUUCCAUACGUUGUUGUUAUAUAUAGAUUUGGCAGAAGUCUAUUUUGGUAUUCUGUGGUUCAAACAUUUCAUUUUUCUCUCCUAACUCAUUUUCAUGUUUGGAUUUUUACUGAAUGGUGGUAGGGGAAGGAAGAAAGCAUGAUUUUAGUGUUGCAAAAUUUGAUAAUUAGACAGUAAUGCUAUGUCAUCAGCUAGGUAAAAUGUAAUUUAUUUUUCUAUGUUAACUUAAUAUAGAGUAUUUAUUUGUGUUUUCGAUAUUAGUGUUGUUUGUUUCGUGUUUGAGAAAGAGUACCAUGUUAGCUAUUAUGAGAAUUCUGAAUUUCUAACUUUGUAUUCGAAUUCUUAGUUUUGACCUAUAUUUGAUUUCCAUCUUGAUUUUCUACUCUAAAAUUAAAAUGAUCAAGAAUUUGACGAUUUUGCCCUUCUUUUUUCGUUUUUUUGAUAUCUGAUUUUCAAGGAGAUUUGUGCCAAAAUUGUUGCUGCUAGAGUAUGUGUCACAACCCAAAACCGAAAUGGUGGAAACGUUCGGGGGUGGAGGACGUCAUGUACAAUACCAUAACAAUGCAAAUUAGUAAACAAUCAUCAACAUCAUCCAUUGCAUUAAUAGUAUAAUUUGAUACAAGAGUGUUCUUUAUAUAGAAUAAGACACCAAAAAUGUAUAAUCAAAAUAAAGACGAGUCUUGAACAUGCUCCGUCUUCUCAAAACCUGGUCAUCGAUACCUAUUUACAGGUGACCAGAGAAUACAAGUUAUUUUGAAAGCGUAGAUCUGCAUUUAAGCUUAUCAGUUCAUACAUAUUUAGUGUCAAUGUUUGUAUAAGUUUGCUAAAAGUGUUUAUAAAUGUUCAAUGUAAAAGUUUGUAUAUGUUUGAAAGCUCCAAGAAGAUCCUAUAUUUUCUACUAGUAUAAAAAGUAGUCUUUUACAAAGACCCGACUGUUUCGUAUGUUUGUUUCUCUGUAAAAGUGAAUGUUUUUCCCAAAUAUCACUAUCAUUACCAAAAUAUAGUUUUACAUUACCGUUUAUGUGAGAAGAUCACAAUUUGAAUGUAAUGGGAAAAUGUAUGUGUACUGUAGUAUUAUAUGUAGUAACUACUGUAGUAAUAACUACCUUAAAACCAAUAGUUUAUUUAAGGUAAAAUGUGAUGAGGUUGUUACCAUGCUAAACUGACUAUAACACGACGAUGAAAGACAUCGGAAGAAAUGACAUUUGGCACCCGUAGACUUGCCAGUCCCACUGUAGCGAACAUCAAAGUGUAGGAUAGUCAAUCAAGUAUAGAUCUAUACACAAACUCACGCUCUCCCUCAAGGAGAUUUUGUUUACAAAACAUGACACAACAAAAUGGUUGUUGUGUCAUGAAGUAGUAUCUCACAUUAAGUUAUCUUGAAUCUUGUUAUAGUAUACUUGUUAUAGUAAUAGUAUUCUCUAUAUAGUAUUCUCUUUAUAGUGUUCUCUGUUAUAGUAUUCUCUGUCUAGUAUUCUUUGUUAUAGUAUUUGUAUAGUGAUAUUAUUCUCCUAAACUAUACCUUUUAUAGUUUACUAGUAAUUCCUGUAGUUUGAAGGAAUGAAUGUAUACCUUUGCUACCUAAAGGUACAUAACUGAUUGAUAGUACUUUUAUAUCUACAUAUAUAUACAUAAUAUAUAACUAAUAUUUAGAUGACAUUUGGACAAAUAACCGAUACCCUAAGUCCACAUCCAAACAAGGAAAAGGAAAUAAAGUGAGUCAUCAGUCCUAAGUCCUUUAAACAUUACGUACAUAACUAUACAUAUGUAGACAUGCUUUUGACAAUAUAUAUAAGUUUAAAAAGAAGUUUUGUAAUACAUUUGAUGAGUUUAACAGUUUGAACAAAAUAUUGAUGACUUGAUGUCAGUUUAUAAAACGAUUUAGAAGUAGUUUAUUUGAUAAGACAGUUUGAAGUAUAAGAAAUCCUUUGUUUGAAACACAGUUUGAAGUAUAUGAAAUCCUUUGUUUGAAACACAGUUUUAAAUCACAUGUGAUUGAUUAUAUAACCAACAUGUUUUCUACUUGUAUUCCCCCCAUAAAAGCAUUUAAAAUCAUUUAAAAGAUAAGUUAAGGGGCAUGAACUCACCUGUAAUGAGUAACUUUAAUGUAAGAUCGAUAAAGGAUGCUAAGUGUCAAGUGAAGGCUUGAGCACACACGGAUCCUAUUUAGCAUAUAAUGACACAUAUAUGUAUACAAUUAGUGUUUAUACAACUAAUCAUGUGAGGGAAACACCUUAGGGACUAAGAAACACUUGAAUUGAAGUGUUACAAUCACAUAUGAUCGCAUAUAAGGGGUGUAUGGCUACACAUUGGUGUUUACGACAAAGUGGUAUGUUUCUAGUAGUUUACGGCCAUAGGGUUUACGGCCCUAUGAGUUUGUGGCCGUAAAAUCAUGACACAUAGUACCAAAAAUGUGUGUUAAGGUCUUAAUUACAUCAUGGUAGUGUUCUAGGUCACAAGCUUAGCUCUUAGAAAAGUUUAUGGCCAAAACGGCACCAUUAUAAGGGUUUACGGCCAAGGGAGAUGCUCUUAGCCUUGAGCUCCUAUUGUUCUUGGGAAAUGAUUGUUUUCAAGGUGCAAAUUAAGUGCUUUAACUAGAUAACAAGUAUAGGGAAAGGAUACUUACGAUAUAGAAGCUUGAAAGGGUGACUAAGAUCCAAAAACUUAGUGUGUGUUCUUGGUGUUCUUGAAGAUCUAACCAAAAAGUGGUAGUUUUCAUUUAUGAUGUAACAACCCGUCAUUUUAGGUCCUUGAAAUUCGAGUCUUGUAUCCUCUUUGAAAAAGUAAUUAGAAUAUCAUCGAAAAAUGAAGUAUUCAAAGGCUCUGUUUGAAGUACGUUAUGUAAUAGAUAUCGUCUUAAGGAUUCCAAGCAUAUAAAGAACACUAAAAUCCGAGUUAUAACGAAGAAGUUAUGACCAUUCUAAGUUUUCCGACAAAAAUCGGCAAUACGAAGUUACGUGAAAACUCGAAUCGGAGAUUGAGCGACUUUUGGCCGGAAUGACCUAAACGAGAAUCGAAGGUCUCGACAAUGGUAUUUCAGCGGUAAAAAGUCUGGCAAAAACCGACGUCAGAUAAAGAAGUUAUGAAUUUUUAAAGAAAUUCCUUAAUCACGUCAUUUUAAUAAAUAAAUAAUAAAAAUAAUUUCAUAAAUUGCCAACAGAAUCUAAACAAAAGUUGUAGAUCUUAGUCUCACCUACGCGUGGAUAUAAAGAACGUCGAAAACGGAGUUCGUAUGAAGGAGAUAUGAAUUUUAGAAGUUUAUUUAAAAUAAAUAUAAAUUUAAAUAUAAACCCUUAGUAAUAUCCGAAGAGGAGUCAGCGGAUAGGACCAAGGUACGCCCCGCGUACUCAAAUCAAGGGCUCCGGAUUGUCCACGUCGCUCCAAUGUUUCUUCCGAGGAUGCGGUAAGCCAUGACGUCUCGUAUGCCCUGCGUACGAGCGUACGCCCCGCGUACGCGAGGCUUCCAGACCCUAUAAAAGGGGUGCGAGGGUUUCCGAAAAACUUGCUCAUUUUUUCUCCUUUCUCUUGUGUUUUGCCUCGUUUUCCGUGCCCGUUCAAACCCGAAGCCCUGGUCAUUUUGCUCAAGUCCCGAAGGUCGAUUUUACUCCCGAGAUUCCCGAGAAUCCCGAGAAAAAUCCGUUUCCCGAGAUGAAACUCUGCCCGGUUUUCCAUCUCGCUAUCUUCAAACUUCCAAGUGAGUUCAUACCCCUACAAACACACUUUAAAUACAUUUUAAAUGCUUUUUAUACUCUUUAAGGGGGGAUACAAGUAAACAUACGGUUAUUAUCGUGUAUUUCAUAAAAUUUCACUUUACUCGUUUUUAUCAAAUGAAUCACUUGUGAUUUAGUUCUACUAUGUGAAAACUCUUGUCAUACUUUGCAUGCAAUAGAUUUAUACAAAGUAUUUAGUAAUUCCCAAGUAUCCUUCGUUGCUAAACCAUUUUAUACAUUCUAAAAACUUAUGAUUUAUGUUUUGUCAAACAUUGUGAAAAAGGAUAAACUUUGCAUACAAAACUAUCACUUUAAUACAGACUUAGUUGAGAAUCCAUGAGACGUGUACAUCUUCAAACACUGCCUUUUAUCAAAAAGGUAUCGCUAUAAGUCCUGUUUAUAACCAGAGUCUCCCGUUCGGAGAACGUGUCAAAUGUGUAUAGAUCUAUACGGGAAGUCAUGAUCCCGCGCCCUGACUGUUAGCUACAGUCCGUCUUUUGGGGUGACAGUUUGUCAUAACGCUACGACGCCUGAAGAACGUCGCUACAGGCAUAUUAUGUUUAGUAUGGUUAUAAAACUCAUCGGAUAUACAAUUAUUAUGGUAUUAUGCUUUUAUGAAAGAGUAGCUAUUAAAACUAUUCUUCAUCUAACAACUACGAUCUUCGUAUAGCUUUAUUAUAUAAAACUAUGCCACUCCUUUCAAGCACGUCGGUUGCUUGCGAUUUUCGGUCUUAGAGACUGCCAGUUAUGUUAUGAAAAUAAGGGUUUUUCCUGUAUACAAACCAAACAACUAAUAGGAAAAUAAGGGAUUUUCUCGGUACAAUUAGUUGCAACUUAUAUCACGAACAUUCAUAUGCAUUUCAUACUUUUAUAAGAAAAUAAGGGAUUUUCUUGGAAAAUAUACACUCAUUUUGGAAUGGCAUUCAAUGCUUCUAAAUCACUUAUGAACUCACCAACUUAAUUGUUGACACUUUUUCUUUGAAAUAACUUGUAUUCUCAGGGAAUCGUUAAGUAGGUUUGGAAAUCAACUUUUGGGGAAUAACGCGCUGGCAUUAUUUACUUCUUUUGAAAGAUGUUUAUGCAUUUAUCUUUUGAGCAUGUAAUGAAUACAAUGAUGUAAACAUUUUUAAAACCUUUAUAUAUGUAUGGUGGUGUGUACUUUCCUUUCUAUGAACUGUUAUGAUACUGAAUAUGACGUCCUCCGCCCCCGAACGUUUCCGCCGUUCUGGUUUGGGGGUGUGACAUAUGAAAACAUGGAUCUUCACUAGUUAUAGCAAUGAAUCAACUAACAAUGGAAGGAAUGCUUACAUUUUUGAAGAUCAAAGUGAAGAACUCGAUGAUACUUGAGAGAGAAUUCGGGUUUCUAGACUUGAAAUGGUAAGAAAUGAGGAAAAGUGAUGGAAAAUCAUGUAUAUAACAUGAGUUUAUGGCCAACAUGAGUUUACGGUCGUAAACUCAUGGUGGUGUGGCCGUAAAAUCCACAUGAUGGGGUUUAAAGCUCUAUUAGUGCACAAUGGACUCAAGCAGAUACUUCCUAACACCCGAUCCUUGAAUGUACUAUGCUUAGAACACUCAAACAGACCCUAAAGAGUGCUAAAUGAUAGCAGAAACAAGUCUGACUUGGAUUGAAUUGAUUGAUUGUACAAGAUAGAAAUUUCAGGUUGUCGCAUCAUCCCCCCGUUAGAGAGAAUUUCGUCCCGAAAUUAGAGUUGAAGCAAUUAAGUAGUUAGAAAUAACUAAUUAAAAAGAUGAAGAUAUUUUAGUUUCAUCUGAUCCUCGCGCUCCCAAGUGAAUUCAGGUCCUCGCUUGGCAUUCCAGCGAACCUUCACUAUCGGGAUACGGCUUUGGUUCGUUUGCUUGACCUCACAGUCCAUGAUCUCUACUGGUUCUUCCAUGAAGUUUAGGCUCUCGUUGAUCUCGAUCUCGUCGAGUGGGACUACAUGAGUCUUGUCGGACGGAAAUUUUUUUCAAGUUCGAGACAUGGAAAGUAGAAUGUACGUUAUUGAGUUCACGAAGUAGAUUGAGUUUGUAAGCUAUAGGGCCGAUUCUAGCGAGAAUAUCGAAUGGCCCUACGUUUCUUGGAUUUAGCUUCCCACGCUUUCCGAAGCGUAUCAAGCCCUUCCAAGGUGAGACUUUCAAUAGAAUGCGGUCUCCCACCUGGAAUUCCGAAGGUUUCCUUCUUUUGUCAGCGUAGCUUUUCUGUCGGUCUCUAAAGGCUUUCAAUCGUUCACAAAUCUGAAAGAACUUCUCUAUUGUUUCCCCGAUGAUCUCCAGACCUGUGAGAGUGCUAUCAGGAACUCGUCCUUUAGCUAACUGGGUGUCACCCACCUCAGCCCAGCAAAGAGGAGAUCUACACUUACGGCCAUAGAUGGCUUCGAAUGGAGCAGCCUUUAUGCUCGUGCGACAACUGUUGUUGUAGGAAAAUUUGACAAGGGGUAAAUGAGUAUCCCAUGCCUUUCCAAAGUCAAUCACACAGGCUCUCAACAUAUCUUCCAAAGUUUGUAUAGUCCUCUCACUUUGCCCGUCGGUUUGCGGAUGGUAGGCUGUACUCACGUCCAGCCUAGUUCCUAGGGAACUUUGUAGCGACUGCCAGAACCUUGAAGUGAAUCUACUAUCUCUAUCAGAGAUAAUGGAUAUGGGAACCCCACGCAGUUGUAAGAUUUCCCUAAUGUAAGUUCUAGUCAGUUUCUCCAUCUUGUCCGUCUCCUUGAUUGGUAGAAAAUGCGCAGAUUUGGUCAAUUUUUCGAUGAUUACCCAAAUGGUAUCAAGUCCACCCGUUGUCUUGGGCAACUCAGUUAUGAAGUCUAUACUAAUCCGCUCCCAUUUCCACUCCAGUGUCUUCGGUUUCUGUAGUAAAUCUGAGGGUUUCAGGUACUCGACCUUAACCUUUGCGCAAGUAAGACAUUUACUCACGAAGGUAGCAAUAUCUGCUUUCAUGUUAGGCCACCACUAUAGUUUCUUAAGAUCCAAAUACAUCUUAUUUGAACCUGGGUGUACGGAAUAUCUAGUGUUGUGCACUUCAAUCAUGACCAAGUCUCUAAAAUCACCGUGUUUCGGUGUCCAGAUACGAUCCAUGAGAUACAAGGCUCUGCCACCCUUGAUUUCCAAGUUUUUAUCCAUCCCUCUCAGGGAUUCACCCGCCACAUUUUCAGGUUUCAAGGCUUCUAGUUGAGCCUCCUUAAUUAGUGUGGACAAGUGUGAAUGGAUAGUCAUAGUCAAAGAUUUGACUCUCUGACCAGAGUAGUCUUUCCGACUUAGGGCGUCAGCUACCACAUUGGCUUUACCGGGAUGAUAAUGAAUUUCGCAUUCGUAGUCGUUGAGUAGCUCGACCCACCGUCGUUGUCGCAUAUUGAGCUCCUUCUGAUCGAAUAUGUGUUGAAGGCUCUUGUGCUCUGUGAAGAUAGUGCUCUGUACCAUACCGGUAGUGUCUCUAGAUCUUUAGAGCAAAUACCACUGCUCCUAACUCAAUAUCGUGUGUUGUAUAGUUGACUUCGUGUGUCUUUAGUUGACGGGAGACAUAGGCAAUGACCUUUCCUCUUUGCAUAAGAACACAACCAAGCUCUUGGUUGGAUGCAUCGCAAUACACAACGAAAUCUUCUAUCCCUUCUGGGAGGGAUAAUAUCGGUGUGGUGCACAACGCUUGUUUCAGUGUUUGGAAUGCCUUCUCUUGUUUCUCUUCCCAGUCAAAGGCCACUCCUUUUUGGUUCAAUGUAGUAAGCGGUUUCGCGAUGCUAGAAAAGUUUUGUAUUAACCUGCUAUAAUAGCCAGCGAGACCUAGAAAUUAACGAAUUCAUGUUGGUGUUUUCAGUGCUGACUAGUUCUCAAUGGCCUUGAUUUUUGAUGGGUCCACGUGAAUUCCCUUUUCGCUAACAACGUGGCCCAAGAAUUCGACUCUUCGAAUCCAAAACUCGCACUUAGAGAACUUCACAUAGAGCUUCUCCAAUCGUAAUGCUUCUAAGACUCUGCGUAGGUGUUGACUAUGCUCCUCCUUACUUCGGGAGUAGAUAAGUAUGUCAACGAUGAAGACAAUGACGAACUGAUCCAAGUAAGGACGACACACCCUAUUCAUUAGAUCCAUGAAUACAGUCGGUGCAUUGGUCAAUCUGAACAGUAUCACUACAAACUCGUAGUGUCCAUAACGAGUUCGGAAGGCUGUCUUGGGGACAUCCUCCUCUAGCACUCGUAACUGGUGAUACACGGAUCCUAGAUCUGUCUUCGAGAAGUAGUUCGCUCCCUGAAGUUGAUCAAAUAAGUCGUCAAUUCGAGGUAGAGGGUAACGAUUCCUGAGAGUAAGUUUGUUCAGCUCUUUGUAGUCGAUGCACAUACGAAACAAUCUGUCUUUCUUCUUUACGAACAAGGCCUGUGCUCCCCAUGGUGAGAAGCUUGGUCUAAUGAAUCCCUUUCUGAGAAGUUCGUUAAGCUGACUGGAAAGUUCCUGCAUCUCUGUUGGUUCUAGAUGAUAAGGCGAUUUGGCUAUUGGGGUAGCCUCUGGGACUAAGUCGAUUCGGAACUCGACUUGACGAUGUGGUGGUAAUCUCGGUAGUUCUUCUGGAAAGAUGUCGGGAAAGUCGUGUACUUUUGGAAUGUUCUGAAUGUCUUUCACUUCUUGGCUCGUAUCGACGAUGUGUGCAAGGAAUGCAUGAUAUUCCUUUCGUAAGCACUUCUGAGCUUGAAUACACGAGAUGAUGCGAAGGUUUGUACUUGAUUUUUUGCCAUAGAUAACUAGAGUUUCGUUGUUAGGGAGGUUAAGGCAAACUGCUUUCUCAAAGCACAUGAUGUCAGUGCAAAGAAGACUCAAUGAAUCCAUGUCGAUUAUAACGUCGAAACUUUUAAUUAAGAUCGGCAUGAGUUCGAUUUGGAAAGAAUGGCCAUCUAGAGUUAAAGUACAACCUAUGUAUAUGCAGUUAGUGCUUUUCGUUUUCCCGUUUUCCAUUUCUACAGUGAAUGAUUCCUCUAGUGCACGUGGUUUUUGUUUGAGUAAGUAAGAAAAUUUCUUGUUCGCGAAACUCCUCUCCGUUCCACUAUCAAAUAGUACGCAAAAAUAUGAAUUAAUGAGGAGAAACUUACCAGUAACUACCAUAGGAUCAGCUACGGCUUCCUCGUGGCCUAUCACCAGAAUUCUUCCCACUCUGCCAGCAUUUCCUGCCUUCGGGUAGUCUCUUUUAAAAUGACCAACCUCGCCACAACUGUAGCAAGCCUAGCCCACAACAAUGUCAGGGACUUGGUUAAUUGGCCUCGCCGGAGCCUUGCAGAAACGGGUAGUGUGCCCCCCUCCUGUUGCAGUUAGCACACUGCAUUUCCCGACAGGCACUAUUAUGAUGGAAAGUGCAUUUGUUGCACUUGGGCAAAUUCCCAGUAUACUGCUUCCUCGAUGCAGUAGCAGUAGGUGCAAUCGCGUCAUGAACAACCACAACUUGUUGCUUCUUGGCAGAGUUCUACCCCAAUUUGCCCUUCUUGUUAUCCUAGAACGUUCGCUUGUUGUCAGCGGCUUUGGAGGACUCUGAGAUAGCUAGGGCUGUUUUCGUUGUCGGGGUGGGGACUCCGUGAUCAAUGAGUCGUUGUGCCAUUCGCUUGGCAAUGUCGAAAGUUGUGGGGUUUGAAGCUAAGACAUUCCCCUGAAAUGGAGGCACCAACCCAAAAAUAUACCUCUCGAUCUUCUUUCCCUCAGUGGGAACCAUAUUGGGACAUAGUGCCACCAGAUUGUUGAAUCUGGUAGUUUAAGCCACUAUGUUGGAGCCCUUCAUGGUCAGGCUCUAGAGUUCUUAUUCUAGUUUCUGAACCUCGCCCCUCGGGCAAUAUUCUUGUAUCAUAACCCUUUAAGAGCUUCCCAUCUCAUAACAUUCGCCACUAUUAAAGUAAGUGACUUGACAUGGUUAUUCCACCAUGUCAGGUCUCUAUCACCAAAGUUGCAUACAACAAAUUUUACUUUGCUUCCUUCAGUACAGGAACAAAUCUCAAAGAUCUAUUCCGUCUUCUCGAACCAUUGCGACAGAGCAAUGAUUCCACCGAUUCCAUUGAAGACUCUAGGUUUACAGUUGGUGAAGUCUUUAUAACGGCAAUCUCGCGAGCACACAACAACAUAGCCUUGUGUGGAAUGAACGAUUGUUCCACCUCCACUAGUACCUUGUUUGUUGGUGUAUUGAGCCAUGGCCAUCGCAACAGCCGCAGCCACCGCAACAUUAAGAGCUGCCGUAUCGAAUUGUGGAGGAGGUGGUGUUUGAGUUGGAAUAAUCGGAGGAUUAUGCCUUGUUGAUUUGCGAGGAGGCAUCUUUCAAAUAUAAGUUUAAAAUAUGAGUACAAUGAUAAGAAUCCAAUAGUGAAGUUAAUGAAUGAGUCUCAUGAACUAAAUAGCCAUAGUUCAACAACUAGAUAAGAGUGUGAGUUCUAUAGAGUUCUAGAAUCAGAAAAAUGAAAGUAUUUGAACAAAGAUUUCCACAAGAGAUUAGUUGACUACCAAUAUCAUUGAUGUUAACGAUGUAAUAAGUUUGGGAAAAUUUACCUAAGAGUAGGUCUUACAUCAUAUCAGAAGUAGGAAAAUUGUGGCAGUUCAAAGACCUAAUCGACUGAAAGUUCGAGGUCUUAACACAAAUGGAAAAUUUAAUACUAGCAUCUAUACAUAGACCUAAGUUAUACCCAAAAGAUAGAGUAGAACACAGUCUACUUCCUGCUAGAUCCUGAUUUGGAUUUAGACAGACGGUGUUCUAGUUCGUAAAAACGCCUAUCCUGUACCAACAGACGAUCUCGCAACACUUGAACUUCGGGUUGGGAUGCCGCUAGUUCGCCAGUCAAGAAGUUAGUAUGAUCUCUUAUCGCGCCAUGUUGGUCUUCCAAAUUACGAAGACGAACAGUGUCGACUCCAGCGAUAGCUUCGCUCUGCAUCAGACGAUUGCUAGUAACCCUUCCAUGUUCGGUAUUACGAGCAAUAUGACGAACCAGCAUGGGAAGUGCUCUAUCUGCUGACCCUCCAGAUUCUAAAUUGUAGAAGCUUCGGUCUCCUUGGUAAGGGUGAUUCUGACCUUGUUCAUUGCUCCACCUGUCUAUGCUUAUGGCCCAUAGAGGUGUCGGACCUAGAAAAGCCGGAUGAGGGUUAGGAUUUGGGAUUUGGGCCGCAGGUGGUAGAUUCUCGACUUCGGGUUCGGAUUCAAGAUCCUCGGGGAAAUCUUUUGUGAAUUCAUCAUCUAAAGCAAUCGCAUGCUCUUCUUCUAUUUCGGCGUCAAGCCAACCAUCGUUUCCUUGCUUUGGGAAGUACGGAUCACCAAGGAGAUUAAAUCCAGCCAUUUAUCUAGACGAGAAAUAAAGGUAAAGAAUUUAUUUAACAAUUCUAAAAUAAAGAGAUAAACAAAUAAAAGUUUCUGUAAGAGAAACUUACUUAUAAUCCUAAUAUGACUCUUACUGGUUCCUUCUAUGAGAACAUAAUGCAUACCAAUUAUAUACUACUUGGGUUGAAUAGUCCUUCGAAUAAGUGAUCCUGCUCUAAGUCCACAUCCAAACAAGGAAAAGGAAAUAAAGCUUAGACCACAUAUUCUUAGUCUAUGAAACCUAAUUGUAUAUAAUCAUAAUGUAUGCACUUAGUACUCAUAGAACUAUCAGCAAAAGCCUUUUGUUCUUAUGAAGUUUGUUCUUUGAAUGAAUAGUGCCUAAAAUACUCCUAUAGUAUUUUACCUUAUGUUUUGUUCUCAUGUUCUUCUAUAUAUGAAGAUGUAUAUGUAUUGUUUGGUAAGUUUUAGAAAUGUCGCAACACCACCAUCACUCCCAAACACACGUUCACCAUAUCUCAAACGAAUAUAGUUGAUCAAGCUAUAUUGAUCUGAGAUAUGAUUACAUAACUGCCCAUGUUUGACUGUAGUAUCGAACAUCUAAUUACAUUUGUUAUGUUCUAGUAUGACACUGUUCGGUAGUAAGUAUGUAGGUAUGUAAUUAUGUAUACUUUUAGUUAAGUAUUUUAGUACUUAAAAAGUUUAAAUUCUUGGUCAGAGUAUUUUAAUCCCAAUGUGUUUAUAGUUUGUAUAUCUUUUAUGGGUUGAUAUACUCGAUUCACUAUAAACAAUGCUUUGAUACCAAUCUAUCACACCCUAAAACUGGAACGGUGGAAAUGUUCGGGGGCGGAGGACGUCAUGUACAGUAUCAUAACAAUGCAAAGUAGUAAACAAGAAACAACAUCAUCCACUACAUUAAUCGUAUAAUUUCAUACAAGUGUGUUCUUUAUAUAGAAUAAGACACCAAAAAUGCAUAAUCAAAAUAAAAACGAGUCUUGAACAUGCUCCGUCUUCUCAAAACCUGGUCAUCGCUAUCUGUCUACUGGUGACUUGAGAAUACAAGUUAUUAUGAAAGCAUAGAUCAGCAUUUAAGCUGGUGAGUUCAUAAGUAUUUAGUGUCAAUGUUUGUAUAAGUUUGCUGAAAGUGUUUGUAAAUGUUUGUAUGUGUUUGAAAGCUCCUACAAAAUCCUAUAUUUUCUACUAGUAUAAAAAGUAGUCUUCUACCAAGACCCGGCUGUUUUGUAUGUUUUUCUCUAUAAAAGUGAAUGUUUUUCCCAAGUAUGACUAUCAUUACCAAAAUAUAGUUUUACAUUACCGUUUAUGUGAGAAGAUCACAAUUUAAAUGUAAUAGGAAAAUGUAUGUGUACUGCAGUAUUAUAUGUAGUAACUACUAUAGUAAUAACUACCUUAAAACCAAUGGUUUAUUUAAGGUAAAAUGUGAUUAGGUUGUUACCAUACUAAACCGACUAUAACACGAUGAUGAAAGACUUCGGAAGAAAUGACAUUUGGCACCCGUAGACUUGCAAGUCCCACUGUAGCGAACAACAAGGUGUAGGAUAGUCAAUCCAGUAUAGAUAUAUACACAAACUCAUGCUUUCCCUCUAGGAGAUUCUGGUUACAAAAAUGAGACAACCAAAUGGUUGUUGUGUCAUGAACUAGUAUCUCACAUUAAGUUAUCUUGAAUCUUGUUAUAGUAUACUUCUUAUGGUAAUAGUAUUCUCUGUAUAGUAUUCUCUGUUAUAAUAUUAUUUGUAUAGUAUUCUCUGUUAUAGUAUUCUUUGUUCUAGUAUUCUCUGUCUAGUAUUCUUUGUUAUAGUAUUUGUAUAGUGAUAGUAUUCUCCUAAACUAUACCUAUUAUAGUUUACUAGUAAUUUCUGUAGUUUGAAUGAAUAAAUGCAUACCUUUGCUACCUAAAGGUACUGAACCGAUUGAUAGUACUUUUAUAUCUACAUAAAUAGACAUAAUAUAUAACUAAUAUUAAAUGACAUUCAGACAAAUAACCGAUACCCUAAGUCCACAUCCAAAUAAGGAAAAGGAAAUAAAGCGAGGCAUUGGUCCUAAGUACUUUAAACAUUAUUUACAUAACUAUACAUAUAUAGACAUGCUUUUGACAAUAUAUAUAAGUUUAAAAAGAAGUUUUGUAAUACAUUUGAAGAGUUUAACAGUUUAAAUAAAUAUUGAUGAUUGAUGUCAGUUUAUAAAACGAUUUAAAAGCAUUUUUUUGAUAAGACAGUUUGAAGUAUAUGAAAUCCUUUGUUUGAAACACAGUUUGAAGUAUAUGAAAUCCUUUGUUUGAAACACAGUUAUAAAUAACAUGUUAUUGAUUAUAUAACCAACAUGUUUCCUACUUGUAUUCCCCCAUAAAAUCAUUUAAAACCAUUUGAAACAUAAGUUAAGGGGUAUAAACUCACCUGUAGUGAGUAACUCGAAUGUAAGAUCGAUAAAGGAUGCUAAGUGUCAAGUGAAGGCUUGAGCACACAUGGAUCCUAUUUAGCAUAUAAUGACACAUAUAUGUAUACAGUUAGUGUUUAUACAACUAAUCAUGUGAGGGAAACACCUUAGGGACUUGGAAACACUUGAAUUGAAGUGUUACAACCACAUAUGAUCGCAUAUAUGGGGUGUAUGGCCACACAUUGGUGUUUACAACCAAAGUAGUACAUUUCUAGGAGUUUACGGCCAUAGGGUUUAUGGCCCAAUGAGUUUGCGGCCGUAAACUCAUGACAAAUUGUACCAAAAACGUGUGUUAAGGUCUUAAUUGCAUCAUGGUAGUGUUCUAUGUCACAAGCUCAGCUCUUAGAAGAGUUUAUGGCCAAAAUGGCACCAUUAUAAGGGUUUACGGCCAAGGGAGAUGCUCUUGGCCGUGAACUCCUAUUGUUCUUGGGAAAUCAUUGUUUUCAAGGUGCAAAUUAAGUGCUUUAACUAGAUAGCAAGUAUAGGGAAAGGAUACUUACGAUAUAGAAGCUUGAAAGGGUGACUAAGAUCCAAAAACUUAGUGUGUGUUCUUGGUGUUCUUGAAGAUCUAACCAAAAAGAGGUAGUUUUCAUUUAUGAAAACAUGGAUCUUCACUAGUUAUAGCAAUGAAUCAACUAACAAUGGAAGGAAUGCUUACAUUUUUGAAGAUCAAAGUGAAGAACUCGAUGAUACUUGAGAGAGAUUUCGGGUUUCUAGACUUGAAAUGGUGAGAAAUGAGGAAAAGUGAUGGAAAAUCAUGUAUAUAACAUGAGUUUAUGUUCAACAUGAGUUUACGGUCGUAAACUCAUGAUGGUGUGGCCGUAAAAUCCACAUGAUGGGGUUUAAAGCUCUAUUAGUGCACAAUGGACUCAAGCAGAUACUUCCUAACACCUGAUCCUUGAAUGUACUAUGCUUAGAACACUCAAAUAGACCCUAAAGAGUGCUAAAUGAUAGCAAAAACAAAUCUGGCUUGGAUUGAAUUGAUUGAUUGUACAAGAUAGAAAUUCCGGGUUGUCACACCAUCCCCCCGUUAGAGAGAAUUUCGUCCCGAAAUUAGAGUUUAAUCAAUUAAGUAGUUAAAAAUAACUAAGUAAAAAGAUGAGGAUAUUUCAGUUUCAUCUGAUCCUCGCGCUCCCAAGUGAAUUCAGGUCUUCGCUUGGCAUUCCAGCGAACCUUCACUAUCGGGAUACGACUUUGCUUCGUUUCAGUAAAACUUUACAAAUUUUCCCUUCUAAUCUUAAACACAUAGAUUACAAAAUUUAGAAUGUUUUCUCUUAAUAACAAGUUAACAUAAACUUUUCAUUUCUCUUCAUAUUUUUUAUUGAUUGGGUUGUAAUACUGAUUUCAGGCUGCCAGGUACUUGACAAAUUGGAAAAUAACUUUUGCACUAUUAAGGGUGCAAGGUUAGUCAGCCAAGAUAAUGAAGCCUUAUCAGUUAUCUUAUUGUCUCUGAAACAUCAGUUGUGAAGGUGAAUUUUAUAAUUUUAAAACUCCUGGCAUAUAUUUUCUUAAGUGUAAAAAUGAUGUUUAUGAUCUUAUAUUUUGUCUUUUGGAUUGUUUCAGGGAUCAAAAUGUUGUUACUUCAAACCAGUCCUUGAGAACUCUUUCAAACAUAAUUGUUGCGGCUAGUAUAUAUUCUACAAGGGUGCUUGAUGAAAUAUUUUGGGAACUUAUAGGCUUCACUGCUAGCCUUCUUCAUAUAAAAAAAUCAGAUUAUAAUGACUUGUUGAUAAAGGUUCUUUAGUUUUUAUUGUUUAUUAUCAUUUGCAAAAAAGAAGUAGGGAAUGCAAUUAUUUUGGAAGAUUUUUCAAACUUAAUUUCAUCUCAUAAACCUAAAAAAGACAUUUUCAUUAAAAAAAAAAGAUAGGUGGUGGAGAAAGGAAAAAAAAAGGUAGGCGAUGUUUUUUUUUGGUUUUGGUUAAAAUUAGGCGUGAAGACCUUUGAAGACAGUGGCCCAUGUCUACGCCAGGAAGACCUCGCACAAACGUUUUUUGAUCUACGCACUUCCAGAAAAUAAGCACUCUGCGAGGGCAUAUGUGUGCGUUGUCUGCGCAGUGCAAAAAAAAGUGGUUGCCCAGAUAUGCACAAAAAAACAAACAACCCCUUACUGAAGUGUUUAAAGUGGGAUUUCCAUAUAGUAUACUUUGUAUACCAAACGGGCCCUACCUCCGAUAUGAUCCUACCUAGUUGUUCCUUACUUGAUAGAUCUUGAAGUAGACUUUGAGUUAAUGAUGAAUCUAGACUAAUAAUUAGUCGCAAUAAAUAUUAGACUAAAACUUAGUGAUAAUAAUACUAGGUUUCGUCAACGGAAAAGACAAUUGUUAGAAGCAAAGCGCUGCCCGAAUUUUGAGUUGUCACUUUAACAAGUGAGUGCAUAGUCCCUUUCAUGAACAUGAUUUUAGUACAAGUAUUAAUUAAAGUAUUAAAUAUCUAUUAAAGAGUUAAAUAGAUGUUAAAGAGUUUAUGUGUGAGUGCAUAGUCCCUCUCAUGAACUUGAUUUUAAUACAAGUAUUAAUUAAGUAUACGAUAUAUGUUUAUGUGUGAAAUAUUUGAUAUUGCCUAAAAUACGUGUUAAGAGCAUAUCUGAUAAUAUAUGAUGAUUUAUGACAAAAUAAAGCUAAGUUCAUUAAGAUGAAUAUCAGUUAGUAUCUUUUUAUGAGUAUGGGUGAUUUAUACACGAAGGGUAGAACUUUAAAAUUUGUCACUGAUCUGAGAGCAUGGAUAAGACAGUCAUUCGUCCUUAGUCUAAGAGUAUGGUGACGGCAUAGUCAUUUGUCAUUAAUCCGAGAGCAUGGAUUAGACAUAGUUAGUCAUCCUUAGUCCAAGAGUAUGAAGAGGGCAUAAUCAUUUUCCAUUAAUCUGAGAGCAUGGAUUAGACAUAUUCAUUCGUCCCUAGUCCGAGAGUAUGGAGUGGGCAUCGUCAUUUGGCAUGGAUCUGAGAGCAUUAAUUAGACAUACCUGAUCCGAGAGUAUGGAUUAGGUAUAGUUGUCAAUUUUAGAUCUGAGAGUAUCGAUCAUAUUGUUGUAAGGAUCGACAGGGUGGGGUAAAAUUGCUUAUAUGAGGUGAAAUUAUAUAUUACGAAUUCUAAUAUAUAUAUAUAUAUAUAUGAUAUAACAUUGUGGGAUUGAAAUCCUUAUAUACUCACUAGGUUUCCCAACCUGACCCACACAGUUUGAUGUAUCACUGGUAGUUAUAUGGAAGAUACAUUACACUAAGAGAUUAAAGGAGAUGUAAUUCAUUAGUGUAAAUGAAUAUAAUGUCUGGUUAUGCUUAUGGUUUUGUAUUUACAAUGACAUCCCAAUGUUUUAAUAUAAAUAAAAUACAUUUCUUCGGAAAUGCUUUGAUAAUGUAUUUAUCAUAUUUUGGGGGACAAAUUUUGUACUAAUAUUCUUCAAAAAUGAUACUCUGAUUUUUAAAUAAGCAUAAAAAAAAUUAGACUUUUUUGGCCGUGAAAAUGGGGAUGUCACAGUAUACAUAAACAUCCAUUGUGUUAUUUUGUUGUGUAUUAUUCUCUAAGUUUAAUAUAUUAUUAUUUUUUGUUAUAUGGUUUUCAGCGUUGUAGUUAGUUUGCAUCUUCUGUAACAUCCCCAAAAUCAUGACCAAAAAUGUCAUUUUUAAUUAUUAAAUAAAACCAUGGUUAUCAAAACAUAAGUCAUAGUAUCUCAAAACAUUAUUAUCAGAGUUUCCAAAUCAAAACAUUAGAGUAAACAUCCCAUGUUAAUCAUUAAGGUAUGUGUAAUGCAGUCAUCCCGAGCUCUUCUCUUUGCAACUAGAAGUACCUGAAACCAAAACUGAAAAUCGUAAGCACGGAGCUUAGUGAGUUCCCCAUACUACCACAUAACAUACACAUAAUCACAUAUAUUGGGCCCCCUCCCCUUCAUCAAGCCCCGCCAAGCAUCGGACACUAUCCGGCAUUAGGCCCCGCCUGGCAUCGAACCCCGCUCGAUAUACAUAUAUGUUUCUCCCAGGCCCCGCCCGCUAUACACAUACAAACUAUAUUAUAUAAUCAUGUUAGCACAUAAAGAAUCAAACACAAUACUACAUGUUCCGGUCCUAAGGCCUCGCCUAUCAUGGGCCCUAUCCCUACUCUCCUAAUGAUGACAUAUGGUACCCCAUCCAUACUCAGAUAGUGAUGAGAUAUGGGACCCCGCCCACCUCCCUACCAAACACAUACAAGUAUCACAUAGACAACAAGUAUAUCUAAACAUGCAUACAUUCCUCGGGUACCACUCGGCAUUGAACCGUAGUUUGGAAAUCGACAUAUAAGCAUUCCUUAGGCCCCGCCCGACAUCGAACCGUAAUCUGGAAGCAUACAAACAUUCCUCGGGCACCAUCCGACAUCGGACCUUUGUCCAGAAUACAUACAGUCAGACAUACGGGUCGGUGCCUUCGAACCAUUCAAACAGGAGGAAAUUCACCUCAAAUGCCAGAUGAUAGUUGAAACGUCUCUGACUGAAGUCAGCUCUACUCACUCCCUGAACCAAAGCAACCCCUUAGAUACCAUUUCAUGCUCAUAACCCUUUAAGGUCAACUGUGGUCAAAUUCAAAGUCAACGCUCCGAUUUGACUCAACUCGUCGAGUUUACUCCUUAACUCGCCAAGUUCCCAUAAAUCAGAGAAUCGUGAAAUCGUGAUCCAACUCGUCGAGUUUUCCUCCAACUUGCCGAGUUCCUUCUUUUUCACCAGAAUCGGGGACAUUCCAAACCAACUCGCCGUGUUACCUUAUGGACUCGUCGAGUUCAUCAGUCUGUCAACACUUCCUAAUUCAUUAAGAAAUUAUUCUUCAAAUCCAAGUCCCAUAUUCUAGAUCUAGACUGAAAAUGCCUCUAGAAGGGUAAAGUUUCCAACUUUAGCCAUUAAUACCCCUCCUAAAGGGAUUAAGCUCAACCCUGAGCCCCCAAAAGGCUUAAAUCUAAAUCCAAAGGCCAUCACCUUCAAGAUAGGACAUAUGAACAUAGAUAUGGACCUUAAAGACUAGAUAAUAACUUAAAGUCUCCAGCUUUCUCUACAUGCAUGGCCAUUAUAAGCUUAAAAGGCCAAAAUGGUAGUCUAAAGGUUGCAUGGGACUUUCAUGGCCAUAAAGUUGGCACCUUUAUGCCAUGAAAGUCCUUCAAGACUCUAUAUAUGAAGUGUUUUCCAUUCGGGACAUCCAACUCUCAAGAACCAUACCAUUUGGACCAAAAACAAGCAAAAAGUACUAAUAAGGAGAUCUAAUCAACUAUUAGGCAAGUUUGAAACUUGAUUACUAGAAAGUGACAAAAAUGUAGUAAGGUUUCUGGAUCUAGCAACUCUUCCUUGUUCCUUCAAACUUUCCUUCCUUCCAAGAGCUUCAAACACCCAUAAGAACACUCAAAAUGGCUCACAAUCACUCAAAAAUAGCUUAGGGUUUCGAGAUUUAUGGUUAAGACAGUGGAGCAUGGAAAUGAGGCCAAAACCCUAUAGCUUAAGUUGUUUAAAUAGGGUGCAAAUCCCAAAACUUAGGGUUUCCCAAACCACGUCCAACUCGUUUAGUUGUGCCUCUCUAACUCAUCGAGUUGAUUCUCAAAAACACGCGCCCAAGAUUUCCAACACGUCGAGUUCUCCCCCUUGGACUCGACGAGUUGGCCUUAUAGAUGUUGAUUUCUUUUUCCUUAUUUGGCCUUCUAGAUUUCGGAUGUUACAUCUUCCCUCAUUUACAUGAUCGUCUUAUAAUGUAUGGAUGUCUUAUAUGUAUCUACUAUUAAUAAGUGGUUAUAACAUAACAAAAACACAAAGUAAUAAUGAUGAUUUUAUAAUUAAAAUUUAUUGACAAAUUUAAUUUGAAUUCUUUUACAUUGGAAUUGAACAACUCAUAAUGUUGUCAAAAUUUUCUAAUCAUAUACAUUUGUAUAAAAUAUCUAUCAAAAUUUAAUUAUAUUAGUUACAUAUCCAAUGAUCGAACCAAAUAAAAAAUAUUUUAUAGGAUUUUGCAAAUUAAGAGAAUAUAUCUUCAACUAAUUGUAACAAAUAAAUUUGAAUAAUCAUAUUUUUCUUUUGUCUCCAACUAUAUAAACAUAAAUAUAUUCUUGAAAUCUAAAGAAAAUAGAAUGAAAGGUAUAUGAAUAUAAAUUGAAACCCACAAAUCAAGUAAAUAUAUUUUAGACUUUCAAAAGCUUGAUUAUCAUAUCCACAUUUAGUUUUUCAAAAUAUAUUUUAUCAUUCAAAAAAUUUCUUUCAUUUAAUCAGUUAAUUAGCAUAAGAUGAAAAUGUGAGAAUUUCAAAUAAAUAUAGUUCUCUCUCUCUCUCUCUCUCUCUCUCUCUCUAUAUAUAUAUAUAUAUANNNNNNNNNNNNNNNNNNNNNNNNNNNNNNNNNNNNNNNNNNNNNNNNNNNNNNNNUAUAUAUAUAUAUAUACAGAGAGAGAGAGAGCUAGGUUCCGUUGAGAUUAAAAAUAAAAUAGAGAUUUUGAGAUUCAACCUCAGCAAUAUAUUUAAAAUCUGAUGCUCUAACCCUCCGGCGUACCAGCACGACAGACCUGUUAUAAUCAUAAAUGAUUAUAUAGCGUCGUCCAUUCCUUUCUCCUCCGCCACCAUACCCUCCAUCACAACCGCCACCGCCACCACCACUACGACCACCCCUGACACCAGUUAACCUCACCACUCUCACCUCCAUCACUUAUACCACCAUAACCUCUGUCACCACCACCUUUUCUGCCACCAACUGUUAUAAUCAUUUAUGAUUACUCGAUGUGUGAAAAGACAUAUAUGUAUAAUAUGCAUAAUCAUAUAUGGUUAUACCUCUCUGCCAUAUAAUCAUUUAUGAUUAGGCAUACCAUUUUGUUUCCGGUACGUUGGAGCGUUAGAGCUGUAAAUGAGAAAUAUGUGGCUGAGGUUGAAUCUUAAGAUCUCUAUUUUUUUUAAUCUCAAGUGAACANAUAUAUAUAUAUUUCUUAAGUUAUUCUAUUUAAACUAAGUAUUGUGUUAUUAUAUGCAUAAUUGUAGGCCAAUCAUUUUACUUAUUUUUCGAAAGUGAAUAAUACAUAUUAUUAAAUUAAAUAUAAUACCAUCUAAUUUCAUUCUAAGGGUAUUUUUGUUAAUUAACAUAAAUUUAAAAAAGGAAAAUUGCAUAUUUUAAGGGAAAAUAGAUUCUAUUAAAUUUAAAAAUCUGAUUAUAUGGAUGAUAAUUCUCCUAAUUCGAAAAUUCUGACGGAAUGUGUUUAUCAAUAUAUUGAAAAAUAACAAAUAUGAUUGAGCCAUACAAGAAUACACAUUCUGACAUAAUAUAUAUUUUGAUUUAAUGUACUUCUUGAAGAAUAAAAAAAAAUUUGGUUACAAGUUAAAAAAAAAAUUCAUUACAUUCUUAGAAAAGACAAAAAAAAAUUAUAGAGUAUUCUAUGAGAAUGUUACACUUAUUAAUAACAAAAAAACAAUAUAUAAAUCAUUCUACCAUAAUACACUAUUAUGUAUAUUUUUUCUUCAUUAUAUUGUAUAUUAUUUUGGUAGAAUAAUCCAUUCUUUUUGUAAGAUUGGUGGUCAUUGUUCAUCUUCAUCCCAUACAAUUUUCAUCUUCAAGAUUCUAUUCCGACCGAAUCAGAAUUCAAGAUUCCAUUCCAGUAGAAUGUUGUAAGUUACAUAUGUACCAUGUUUCGCUUUGAUAUCUCUCGUUUCGUUCCUAGCCAAGAAAACAAGAACAUUCUUGUUAUUGAUUUCAUGUAUACCUGCAAAUGAGAAAUACAACCACUCAUUAUUAUUGUUUAAUCUUCUUUCCAUGACAAUUUCAAGCAAUAAACACCACAUCGAAUUUUGUCAAGCAAAAGAAACAAUUUCCUAUAAAACAUUAACCCCAUAAAUCUGUUCCAUUCAUCCAUUUCUAUCAAGAACAAUCAAACCCAAAACCCAUCAACACUCCACUGUAUUUUUGUCAAAACAAUGGAUCAGAACAUUCUCCACUUGUUAUAUAAUAAAACUAAGUAGUAAAAGAUCAAAACAUUCUUACAUUUCUAUGGUUAUUCUACAAGAAGUUGUUAAAGUUAAUAAAAAUAUUCUUGCACAUAUGCUUGUUGAAAGCAAAUCUCGAAGUCCUAUGAUGAACAAAUGAUGAACGCAUGAACUGCAUUGUAUCUCAAUUUGGAUUGUCAAUCAAUAAAAAGUCAAAAUCAGAAUAAUGAUUACAAUCGGAACAAAUGGUAUUGAAUUCACAGUUGGUAGAGUGAUAAUCGGAGCCAAUGAAAUUGGGUUUUGAAUUUAACUGGAUUGAUCUAAGGAUAUUCGCCAUUGAAUGGUCAAACAGAAAAUUCAAAAUUGAGAUAUUCCAAACUUCUUACCUGCAAACGAUCUAAGAUUCGAAGUUGAAAAUCUGGGCUUGCACUCAUAUCCUCAAUGAUGCCUCUUCACAGCGCAAUUGCAUCUGCAAGUAGGUCAGCGUUAAUGUCUGGUAUGUGAACAAUCGCAUCUCAAACCACCAUAAUUUCAAGAACCCUAGCCCCAAAGCAUGUACCUAUUUCUCCAUUUUCGUCAUCUACAAGAACACUCCCUCGUGAAGCUUCAAGGUAGAUGCUUUACCGAUUACACAUACAAAAAAACACACCAAAACACGUACUACAACCAACCCUAUUUCUAAAUUCUACGAAAUCGAUUUAACCUUUGUGGUGUUAUUCUUCAGGAUUGUUGUGGCAUUGGGAAUGGUUGAAUCCAUGAUGCCUCUACACAGCGCAAUUGCAUUUGCUCGUCUCAAAUCGAGCCUUGCAGUUGAUUCCGCAUGCUGGCCGACAUUGGUGGAUGAAGGCGACGAGUGGUGGAGGACUGUCAGUGAUGACGGUAAUUAUGGUUGUGUUGUGCCCUUCAACAUCGGCAGUAAUGGUUGGGAUCGAAUAGGUGAUGUUUUUAAAAAGCCGAUGGAGAAAACCUAGGCAGCUAAAGUCAAUAGUUACCAUAAUUAUAGGAUAUUAUUUGUGGAAAUUGAUUAUUAAAUUACGUAUUUAUCCUUAUUUAUUUAUUAAUUAUUUAUUUAUAUUUUAAAUUUUUAUUGGUCCAUAUUUAUGCAUACAAUAACACAAUAGAUACAUUAAACACCUAAACCUAGCUCUCUCUCUCUCUCUCUCUCUCUCUAUAUAUAUAUAUAUAUANAUAUAUAUAUAGAGAGAGAGAGAGAGAGAUAGAGAGAGAGAGAGAUAGGUUCAGGUGUUGUAAGUAUUGUGUUAUUGUAUACAUAAAUGUGGGUCAAUCAAAAUUAAGUAAAAAUUUAAAUAAUUAAAUAAAUAAACAAGGGUAUUUUAGUAUUUUGAUAAAUAGAUUCCACAAUAGUCCCUAUAAUCAUGCUAGCAUUAACUUUAAACCUGUUUUUUCUUAUAUACAGUCGUCAUCAGUCAAACAACCUUCUCUCCAUCGUUUUCUAGUCGUCGGCUUCUGAUUGCAUCAGUGUAUCGUCCAACGUCGCCUCAUCCCUUCAUCGGUGCUUCUGGUUCACGUUGGCGUCAGCGCUCAUCGUUCACGUCGGCGUCGGCGCUCCUGUUCACCCUCGUGUUGCACCCAUUACUUUUCUCCUUGACUCCGACUACUUCUCCUCCGAUUAAAUCCACAUGUCGUCGCAACUUUCUUGUCCGACGCGACAUCCUUCCCUGGCGCAACCUCCUUCCUCGUCGUUGGUCAGCCGCCCUUCAUCACGUAUGUAUUUUUUUCCACUUAUAGUUGCUUCACCCUUUUUUAUUUGUUUUUUCUUGUUGAAUCUCGAUUAUAUCUUGCAAACUUGUUAUGAAAUUGAUUGUUCCUGAAAUCAGUUUUUUAGAAACUGGUUUAUGUUCCAGGUAAUUUUUUUGAAAUUGAUAUAUUCUCUUGGUAAUUUUUUUUCUGAUUUAUCAUUCAAAUGUUGUUAAAAAUCGAUUUCAUUUUGCCGAAAUUGAUUGUUGUUUCCAUAUGUUGUUGGUAAGAUUUAGAGACAUUGGUACUGGUAAGCUUCAAUAAGAUUUGUUCUCCCUAAGAUGAAAAAACUAUCAACUGGGGUUAAAUUUGGCUCUCUUGAUGUAUUGUUUGUUAGCUGUGGUAUGACAUUUGUUUCAAUUUUGAAUUUUGAUAUGAUUUUGUAGCUGAUACCACGAAACUUCAUAUGCAUAUACCCUUUACAAUUUUGUUUCACGAGAGAGGUGUGGAGCAAGCUUGGUCAUAUGCAACAGGUGUGUUUCUAUUUAAGUUCUUGAUUUGUUCAAGACAAGUGAAUUACAAGAUUUUGAAUGGUGGUAUAGUUAUUAAUUUGAUGUGUAGGUGUGUGAGCACCAGGUGUUUGACGAUUUGUCUGAGAGAAAUAAUUUAUGUGUCGUAAAGUGUCAGAUUCUUUUCUUAGAUUAUUGCUUUCAGGAUACAAUAUCCUUGUACGUUUUUUUUGGUAAUUCUUAGAUCUUUUAGUUUCAAAUCUUAUUACUUGUUGUUGUUUAAUUUCAGAGGAAUCGAGUAAAGAGCAAGUUGGAAGAACUUAAUCAUAUUUGCACUGCUACAGUUGGUGACGAAUUCCGAUUCUAUGGGAAUUAAAUCUCGAUAUUUCCUUUGUGAUUUGUGUAUUUUUAUGAUUGUAGUUCUAUCGGGAUCGAAUCACGAAUUCCAAUUCUACUAGAAUGGAAUCUUGAAUUCUGAUUCUGUCAUAAUAGAAUCUUAAAGAUGAACAAUGUAUGAGAUAAAGAUGAACAAUGACCACCAAUCUUCCAAAAAGAAUCGAUUAUUCUACCAUAAUAAUAUACAAUGUAUUAAAAAAAAUAUAUGUAAUAGUAUAUUCUGGUAGAAUGAUUUAUAUAUUGUGUUUUUUUGUUAUUAAUAAGUGUAAUAGUAUAUUCUGGUAGAAUGAUUUACCACAUUCUAUAAGAAAUUAUAUAUUUUUUGUUUUUAUUCUUCAACUGAUUGUUCAAGAAUUUGUUAUUCUACAAGAAGUUGAUAAAGUCAUGAUCAGGAAAUAGGUUCAAGAAUAUUUUUAUUAUUUAUGGUAUAAGAAUAUUUUUAUUUUGGAAUAUACUCAUAAACAUAUUCUGUCAGAAUGUCCGAAUUAAAAGAAUUAUAAUUCAUAAAAUCGGAUUUUUAAAAUUAAUAGAAUAUAUGAUCCCUUAAAAUUAGUGAUUUUCCCUUAUUAAAUCUAUAUUGAUUGACUAAAAUACCCUUGUAAUUAAAUUAGAUGAUAUUUUUAAAUUAUAUUUAAUUCAAAAAUAUAUCUUAAUCAUUUUCUUAAAAUAAGUGAAAUUAAUUGGCCAACAUUUAUGCAUACAAUAACACAAUAAUUACUUUUAAUANNNNNNNNNNNNNNNNNNNNNNNNNNNNNNNNNNNNNNNNNNNNNNNNNNNNNNNNNNNNNNNNNNNNNNUAUAUAUAUAUAUAUAUAUAGAGAGAGAGAGAGAGAGAGGGAGAGGGAGAGAGAGAGAGAGAGCUAGGUUCAGGUAUUUAAACUAAUUAUUGUGUUAUUGUAUUUAUAAAUAUAGGUCAAUCAAAAUUAAAUAAAUGAUUAAAUAAUUAAAUAAAUAAAUACGGGUAAUUUAGUCAUUUGUUUAAUAACUUCCAAAAAUAAUCCCUAUAAUCAUGGAAAUUUAGUUACCAUCCCUACAAAACCUUCGUUCACCCAUAUACCUUUAUUUCACUGUAUCCAUCAUCGCAUCAAUACCAUCGGGGUUCCUUUUUCUCAAUUUCAUUCGAUCAUUGAUUAGUAGUAGUAGUAAUAUUAAUGGAGGUCACUGGCGUUGUACACCGUCAGUCUCCGAGCUUCUCUUUGAGCGGUGGUGAUGCCUUUAACUCCUUGCACGUGCACUCUUUUCCGAAGAUGAAACCAGCCAGAUCUUUCUGUCUUAAACAAUCAUUCAAUGUGAAGUCCCUUUUUGCAUCCGUGGGUUUUGAUGAGCUUUCCGACAAGAGCCACCAAACACAUGCUCGAUUCUGAGACCCAUCUCAUAGCGAAUCAAGAUCUAACCUUUGAUUUCGGAUUUGAGGUAUUUUUGAAGAAAUAGGACACGAAGAGGGUAAUUCUGAAGAGGGUAUGUCUAAAGAAAUAAUUAAGGUUAGAAUUCAGAAUCGGGGUUCCUUUUUCUCAAUUUCAUUCGAUUAUUGAUUAAUGUAUGUAUCGAUUUGCUGAUUUGAUUUCAUGUUGCAGGUGAGGGAUGUUAUGAAGAACUUGAAAUAAUUAAGGUUAGAAUUCAGAAUCAGGGUUCCUUUUUCUCAAUUUCAUUCAAUCAUUGAUUAAUGUAUGUAUCGAUUUGUUGAUUUGAUUUCAUGUGGCAGGUGAUCUUAGGCGUACACUCAAAGCUAGCAAAGAGGGGAUCUUUAAACUUACUGUUGGUGAAAUGUACAACAGGUAACAUUGAUCUUUAAUAACUUUGAAUUUGUGAAAAAGAGGAUGAAAUAGAAGUUUUAGAACUUGAAAAUUCGAUCUUUUUUUGAUAAAGAUUAGAAAUGUGCUGUGAUUAUAAGAACCCAAGAACCAUAAGCGUAGAAAGAAUGGUUGUUGAAGCAAUGAAGAAGAUGGAGGCUCCUCCAUCCCCUGUUCAGUUCUUGCAUGUAAUCGAUGAAGACAACAAGUUGACAGGUAUCGUCAUACUACAUGGAUUGGUGUCAGUUGGGCUUUGAAGGUUAUAUAUAUGCAUUACUUCUUCAUUUGUAUCAUGUAGCUAUCGAGGAAUGCCUAUAAUCGUAUAUUACUAUUCUUUUGAUUUAUUGAUUUUUUACUACUCUAUAGAGAUGUAUGUGUUUCUAAGUAGAUCAAUCAUGUUGAGGGUUACACAAAAUUUCCUAUCAUGGUUUUAGUUGAUUUGAAGGUUUUGGGUUUGAUUAGUUGAACACAAAUCAUGGUUGUUUUGGUUUAUUUGACAGAUGAAUGCUUCAAUUGAAUUGAAAGUUGUUUUCAUGCACACCAAGUGCUUGCUAAAAUGCUUCAACUGAAUGGUAUUUCUUCGUUUAUAGCAUUCUAUCAGAAAAUAAUGUUUUUUUAUGAUAAUCAUGAACAUAUUCUGUUAGAAUUCCUUGAAUUAAUAUAAUUAUUAGUAAAUGAAUUCCAAUUCUAUCAGAAUGGAAUCACAAAUUCCAAUUAUGUUGGAAUGGAGUAUGAAUAUUUUCUCACUAACUUAUUCAUUGUAUUUUUGUUUCUACAGAAGCUGAUGCUUGAAGAACGGACCACGAAAUUUGAACGACGCCUCUUAGCAACAUUAUUCUUUUAGAAUGUAUUAUUGUUUUUGUUAGAUUUUGAUGUUUUUUUUUCCAGAUUUGAUUUCUUUUUUAGUUUUAUUCUUUAAAAAUAAAUAUAAUUCUUAGCAAUUGUUACAUGUAUUCUAUAGGAAUUAAUGUAAUUUUUGUUUUAAUUCUUCAAUUGAUGGUUCGAGAAUUUUGUUAUUCUACAAGAAAUUUUUUUAUUUUUUAACAUACUCAAACAUAUUCUGUCAGAAUGUCCGAACUAAAAACCUUAUAAUUUGUAAAAUCAGAUUUUUAAAAUUAAUAGAAUCUUUGAUCCCUUAAAAUAUAUAAAUUUCCUUUAUUAAAUAUAUGUUAACUGACUAAAAUGCCCUUCUAGUUAAAUUAGAUAGUAUUUUUCAAUUAUAUUUAAUUAAAUAAUAUGUAUUAAUCACUUUCUUAAAAUAUGUAAAAUGAUUGGCCCACAUUUAUGCAUACAAUAACACAAUAAUUAUUUUGAAUAGAAUAACCUAAGCCUAUAUAUAUAUAUAUAUAUAUAUAUAUAUAUAUAUAUAUAUAUACACACACACACACACACAUUGANNNNNNNNNNNNNNNNNNNNNNNNNNNNNNNNNNNNNNNNNNNNNNNNNNNNNNNNNNNNNNNNNNNNNNNNNNNNNNNNNNNNNNNNNNNNNNNNNNNUUUAUCGUACUUCGUCGUUUUGUCUCAUAUAAUAAAUUCUAAUUGUCCAAUGUUCUUAUAAUUUAACGUCUAACUUGAUUUACUUCUAGAAUUUUUAUAAACUACAAAGUUAUCUUACUCUUACAUAAUUUUCAUUUUCAACUACAAUAUAUAUAGCAUAUUAGGUGUUCGGAAAAAAAAAUGUGAUGUAAGAGAAAGGUAAUAGUGCAAUUUUGAAAAUUUUGAAAGUAAAUCAAGUUAGUAGUUGAAGUUUAAGAACAUUAUGAUGAAUAUAUCAAACANACUCCUAUCUUUUAACUAUUUCUUUACAAACAAAAUGGCUUGUAAGAUUAAUGAAUACUCGGAACCAUUUUUGUUUCAUAUUGACUAAUCAUUUAUAAAUAUAUAAUUACAAAUAGAUUGGAAUAGAUGAAAUCGAUGGAUUUCCAUAUACGACAUUGUGAUCGACAAAUAGAUUGGAAGCAAAGGGGUCGAAGAGAUAGUAUCCUCUCUCACUAAAUUUCCUAAAUGAUAUGGCAAUGACCAAUUGACCAUGCCGACAUGAUAGCAAUUUUCUAUUUUUGUCAUUUUAGUGACUAGUCCUUUCGCCCCUUAGACAAGUACAAAAGAGACCCUUUUCUUAUGUCGAUCAUCAAAAUAAAUGGAAAUCUAAUCGUUAACUCACUAAGAAUCGCCGCGUAAUCAUCACCUCAUACAUCUUCUAUAAACACCCAACCGAUUGCCCUCUCUAAUCUUGCCUCUAUCCACUCUCAACUCUCAACCACACACACACACCUUCCAUUUCCCAUGGCGUCCUUUCACAAACCUCUCUACCUUUUCUUCGCUUUUUUCUUCGCUUUAGUCUCUUUUUCCAGUGCUUACACCUUCAACGUCGGCGGCAGAGAUGGCUGGACUUUACACCCUUCUGAAAGCUACAAUCAGUUUUCCGGCAGACUAAGAUUUGUCGUUAACGACAACCUCCGUAUGUAUUCAGUUCCUUUUUCUCUUAAGUUCUUGAUUUGGGUUUUCGUUUUUUCAAUGUGGGUUUUUAAAAAAAAUUGAUUCUUGAUUUGCAGAUUUCAAGUACGAUGCUGCAUCGGAUUCUGUAUUGGAGGUCAGCAAAGGUGAUUAUGAUAAUUGCAACACGAACAACCCCAUCACCACCCUCACCGGCGGCGACUCUUUCUUUACCUUGAAUCGUCCAGGACCUUUUUACUUCAUCAGUGGUAAUAGAUCUCACUGUAACGAAGGUCAGAAGCUAGAGGUGGUUGUUAUAUCGCCUAAAACGAAGCCGUCACAUUCCGCCGCUCCACCUCCGGGAGUUUCACUUGCUCCAAUGGUCUCCCCAGGCUCCCCUGUUUCAUCACCACCAGAAUCUGGAACAUCUGGACCGACUGCUCCGAUGGGUUCCCCUAUGUCUUAUUCUUCACCACCAGAACCUGGAACUUCUCCGAUGGCCUCCCCUUUUUCGUCACCACCAGAAUAUGGAGCUACUCCGAUGGUUGCCCCCACUGGAGGUAUCUCAGCUUCUCCAACAGGUAAUCCGUCUGACGUGAACGGACAAUCACCGAAUGGAUCACCGGAAGGGUCGCCGUCGUCUUCGUCGGCAAGACUACCAGUUUCAACAACCUUGACUGUCUCAUUUGUCCUUAUGAUAGUUGGGUUGGUGUGGUUUUAUUAGAGUGUUUAUUUUCUUAGAGUGGUAAUCUAUUACAAUUUUUUUUUCUUG